This 52923-nucleotide long non-coding RNA is filed under the name Triticum aestivum (bread wheat). RNAcentral's name for it is "long non-coding RNA (TAES_LNC013227)". Lineage: Eukaryota; Viridiplantae; Streptophyta; Magnoliopsida; Poales; Poaceae. The record is from RNAcentral.
UAGCCACACCAUACUGGUUUUUUAGGUUGCUCUAGUGUCCAGUGUCAUUUUUUCACUGCUUCAUGGUUAAGAAGUUGCAGGCGCCAGCUCCAGUGGCUGGUCUCCAGGGUUGCUGAUCCUGGAACGUCUGUUGACAUGUCUGGUUGAUAUUGAUAUUGUUAUUGAGUUUGGGUCUGUCAGUAUGUUGAGGUGCUGUGUGUCGUUCUCUAGUGUGUGUGUGUGGUGUCAUGUAGGGUUGCUUUUUUCUUGCGGUUCCUCCUAGGAAUCUGGUCUUCGGGAUCUGGCCGUCGCGAGGCGCAUACUAGAGCCUCGCGACUACAACCCUGUAUGGUUGUUUUUCUUGACAGGUCCCUGAUUUUACCAGCAUGAUGUUGAGGACUGUAAUCUUUGCAACCUUAUAAGAAUAAAUGAAGUAUGUGUUUGUUUUGCAAGUUCUAUGCUUGUACAUGCAUUGUUUUUUCUUCAAUAUGUUUAUCAAGGAUGUCAAGUGCGUUGUCUAGUAACAAGAUGCAUUCUUGAAAGUUGGCUGCUCGAUGUGCCAAAUUUUGAAAUUUGAGGGGCAUAUUUUGGUAUCCAAGAAUGGCAUCCAUAUUUGGAUUUGUGAUUAUAUUUCUUCCCAUGUUGUCUUGUACAAUUCCGGUUCGUGCUUCUCUUGUCCAUCGCUUUAACACAUGAUAUGCCGUUGUGACUUGAUAUUCAUCAAAUCAAGAACUUUAAGAGCAUGGCCACAUAAUAUCCCAGUUCUAUCAAACAGCCAGCAACUGCACUCAAUUGUUUGUUUCAAAGGAUCACCGAUAACUUUAUGCUCCUCAAAGGUAAAAUCUCCAAUAAUAUUCAUUACAACCAUCCAAUAACUGCACUCAAUUGUUUGCUUCAAAGGAUCACCGAUAACUUUAUGCUCCUCAAAGGUAAAAUCUCCAAUAAGAUAUUCAUUGCAACCAUCCAAUGCCUUGGUACAAGCUGAUAAGGAUAUUUCAUAUUCGCCUUGAAAAGCUUCAAAUAUAUACGGGGUGUACAACUUGCUAGCCUACACCAAUCUAGGUGGUGGUCUCCUCAAAUAAUUUAGGCAACUUUUUCCUUGAAUUUAAAUUUUGAAUUCAGUUCAUUAUUUAUUUUUCGCACCACCCUUUCAAAAUGCUUUAAAAACCGGAUGAUAUCAAAAUCAGUUUUCAGAUGGAUUUUCAAGUCACUGUUGAGACUCUCACUCAAUUGUGUACUUCUCAUUCCCAAUGUGAAGAUAUCCUUCAUAUAACAUUCAACUCAUUUUUGUCCUCCUAAGGUCAAACUUCUGUUCAAAAUCGGCAGUGUCUUUGUACUCAAACAUGCACACACUAAAAUCUGACAGAAUACGUGUUUCUUCAUUCUCCUCUAUUUUCUUCUCUUCAUUCUUCUCCCUUUUCUUCAUUCUCCUCUUCACCCUUCUCUUCAUGUAAAUGUUUGACAACAUUUUGCAUAAUGUGAAAGGUGCAUAAUCCAUGUUAUGCUGCAAACACUUCCCCAACGGCCUUUCCCAUUGCAACAUCUUGAUCUAUAUAGAAUGGUUUAGGCCCCUUUCCUUUAUGAGAUAUUAGAAAGGCCUAAAACGACCACUUGAAGGACGCAAAUGUUUCAUCAUACAUGAGAGCAGCACCAAAAACUACAAUUUCUCUAAAAUGAUUGAAACCGACAGAGAAACCAAAGGGCCUGCUCUCCUUGUUUGUUCGAAAAGUGGUGUCAAAACUAAAAACAUCACAAAAAUGUGCAUAGCCCAUGAUCAUCUUAGCAUCAACCAAAAAUAUGUUUCCUAUUUGUUCUUCACAAUCCAUUUGCAAUGCAUAUUGGAAUGACCGCCUUUCAGCAAUUUUGUCUUGAAAAUACUUAAGCAUGCUACCUGCUUGGCCAUAUGUCAUUUCUCGUCGCCACCUGGUCCACAAAUAGUUCUUGUGAUCACGGAGGGUAUAGUUAAGAUGAGUUGCCCACCAACUUGGCGGCUAGCCAAUUCAUGUGCAGCUUUUGGCCCUAUUCCCGCAUCGUCUGCCGUUUCAAUUUCAAAUGCUUGCAAAUCUGUUUUUUUUUCUUUGUGAUACCAUUGCGUGUAAGAUUUCUGGCAGGUGUAGUGUGUGAUUGUGCUCCAAAACCAACCCGGACACUUUGAGAUUUUCCUUCUUUUGGUCCAUUUUAAGACUCAUGUAGACUUGGACACUCGGUUCUAGUUUCAGCUCAAGGGCACUUUGUCAAAUAAUCCCUUUUGUCUUGUGAUCGAAAACCCUCAUUUGCACAAACAAAUCUACAUGAUGUAACUUUGUCAUCGUUUGGCCUUUUGUUUGUAUACCUUUUUCUAACCUCGUGUCUUUUCCGUCCACUGUAGCUAAGCCAAAAUGCCCAAGCCUCAUCUAGAUUUCUAAAUUCCAUGCCAACAUGAGGUACCAAACUAGGCAAUACAACUCUAUAAUAUAAAACUAAUAUGAACAUUAGACUUGUGGAAGUGUUUAGAAAAUAUUAGGACUAAUAGUAUUGGAAAAUAGAUUUCUAUUAGAGAAUAAGCAAACAGUAGUGUUAAUUGGGACAAGUAGGGAUUAGGUGCUAAGAAAAUUCUACAUAUACAGCAUGGUUAUGAGUCAUAAGUAUUACUCCAUGCCCUGGAAACAAUCACAUAGAAUCUACAUAUUUCACUAGUAUAUUCAUACAUAAGUAGAACAAUUGUUUAAUGCUAUUACUACAAUCACUAUUGUACUUCUAAAAGCACAAGGCUUCCAAGUCAGAAACAUAGGUAUCCAGACCUCACUACUCCGAGAAUCAAAUUAGCCUUUUGUUCUCAAUUUAUGAAGCAUUUAAACAACUAAACUCACUCAAAGGAAAAUUUACAUACAAUUUAACAAUUUAGUUAAUCUGAUGCGAUUGCUAGUAUAUCAAGCACUGGCUUGUAGUUGUCUGAAUAGCAUUUUUACACAGGCAACAUAGGGAUACUUCGGUUACCACAAAAAAAUUGUGGUCAAACACAUAAGUACAAGGUUUUUUCAAAGGCAACCCUUGUUCACGACAUUAGGCUGGAGAGGAAGGUCCUCACCUCGUCUUCCACCUAGACUUGGUCAUGCUAGUACACCGUAUCUAACUUUAGGGGGAUCAGAAAGAUUACCUAUUGGAAUUAGAAUCAUUCUCCGUUGUGUUUGCCUCGUCUUCCAUUGAAGUUGCUUCUUCCAUCAGAGAAGAGGAUGCCAAAUCAAAGUUCAACAGGCUGCUUCUUCAAUGAGAAAAAGGGAAAUCUCAUCAAGUUCUAAAGUAAUCUGACGGUCAAACUUCGAUCGGUUUUAGUGUUUUACUAGUAGGUGGAAUCGCGGCGGCACGCUACGCCCAUAGGACAGCCCGUUUGAAUCUUUGGUGUUGAUUUUGUGAAAGAAAUAAAAUAGGAGAGCCCGUUGAAUCACCUAGAAAAGGAAGGAAAAAAAUGACAGGUGCGUUCAUUAUAGAAAUGCACAAUAUUGAUGUGCAAACACAACAAGAAACAUGAUCAAUUCAUGGAGAUGAAAACUCAAAGACUUGCGUUACAAUUUUAGGAACAUAAGAAUAGAAGCAAAUAAAACUUAGAAAAAUAAAUCCGUGCAAAAAAAAUACAGUGUUGUCCUUUGAGAUUCGGCUCUACUCCAUCAAUCAAUNNNNNNNNNNNNNNNNNNNNNNNNNNNNNNNNNNNNNNNNNNNNNNNNNNNNNNNNNNNNNNNNNNNNNNNNNNNNNNNNNNNNNNNNNNNNNNNNNNNNNNNNNNNNNNNNNNNNNNNNNNNNNNNNNNNNNNNNNNNNNNNNNNNNNNNNNNNNNNNNNNNNNNNNNNNNNNNNNNNNNNNNNNNNNNNNNNNNNNNNNNNNNNNNNNNNNNNNNNNNNNNNNNNNNNNNNNNNNNNNNNNNNNNNNNNNNNNNNNNNNNNNNNNNNNNNNNNNNNNNNNNNNNNNNNNNNNNNNNNNNNNNNNNNNNNNNNNNNNNNNNNNNNNNNNNNNNNNNNNNNNNNNNNNNNNNNNNNNNNNNNNNNNNNNNNNNNNNNNNNNNNNNNNNNNNNNNNNNNNNNNNNNNNNNNNNNNNNNNNNNNNNNNNNNNNNAAAGGAGUAUAUUUCGAGCGCUUGCAUUAAGAGUGAUUAGCUUCCCUUUGCUUGUAGAAUGAAAUAAUGGUAAUAUAUACCACAAAUCUCAUAUUUGGUACAAUAUCAAUGAGGAAAAUUAACAUCUGAAGCAUCUUAUGAGGAUAAAAUAGUUAUUAGCAAAUCCAUAUUGCCGAAGCAGCUUAUGAGGAUAAAAUAGUUAUUAGCAAAUCCAUAUUGUACACAAAAUAAAAUUUUACGGAAGAAUAUAUGGAUCAAAGCAUCAUUCAGGCUGUCUAGAAAAAUUGAAGUGACUAACAUUUCUGCAAAAGAAAACUAAUUGAAGUGAAAAACACUAAGGCGCAAACGAUGCAUCAUCUUUGGAUAUAAUAUUUUUUUAUCUAGGACCGUACUCAAGGCUGCACACAUAUAUGCAGAUUGAUUAAGCGGUAACAAAACUUGCACACAAACAAAUAUCAUAUGAACAGUAACAAAAAUGAAGAGUUCGGACGUUACAAAUAACAAUCAAACUCAAAUGAAAUGCAUAUUGUCAGUAAGAAAAUAUGUAACCAAGUAAGUGACAAACCAAAAAUGCUAAAAGCAACACGACCAAAAUAUUUGAAAGAUGAAUACAAAAAUAGGGGGGGCAUCAUGCACAAAGCUUACCUUUUUGAUUUGGAUCACAACUUCUGAACAUGCAUAAGAUAAAAACAACAUGACCAGUAAGUACAUGUGGAGGCUCAUCCUGUACUAUGUCAUUGUGUGUGUAAAUCAGGUUGUAGCAUGUUGAUAGUUUAGCCACAAGACCAUGUGAUUAAGCCUUGUAGAUUGAAACAUAGGUGACACACGUGAUCAGGUGAACUAUAGUAGCUGAACUCCAGACUACAAAUUCAGGGAAAAAGUAAUACUUACAAAUUGUCCAGAUAAAUUUAUUUGCAAAACUAUAUUUCAAUGUAAAUUUGGCUCAAAAUAGUGUGUACGAAAUUGCAAUCAUCUAAUACAAAUCCCAUGUCAAAGGAUAAUCAUUUUGGUUAUUACAUAUGAAAAAUGCAUGAAUCUACACUUCAAAAUAUGUCUAUAUACAUUCGUACGUAGUCCCUAUUGGAAUCUCUAAAAGACUUAUAUUUAGGAACCGCGGGAGUAGAAUAUAAGAUUACUUGGGAACAAUAAUGCAGAUGAUUUUAAUAAAGAAAUAACUUAAAUAACUGAUAACAGUGUAAUGAAGUGGCACUCGGAACGUUCCACAUGAGAACAAAGACAAAAGUUUUACAUCACAUAUUUCAGUAUCUUGAAGGUUAUAAAGAGCAAAACCUUGUAUUUCUUGCAAAGUAAUUAGUGCAUAUAUAUUAUCGCGUGAUAACUUGUAAACCAUUUUGUAGAAGAGAUGGAAUUUGCGAAGAAAAAAUAUCAUAACAUGUAAAGCACAAAUGAAAACCUGACUUGAUGGUGUUGAGCAUUUUCAUAGCGCCCACAGUGCUCCGUUUUUUCUUGGGGGCAGUUGAAGUUACUAAAUUUAUCGUUCCAACUUUCCUGAUCUCCUACUCGGCUAUUUUUGCCAUGUGUGUGGCAUCCCUUUCAAAUGAGCAAAUGGGUGUGUCAUUUUCUACUCAUUCUUCUGUUUGCUUACACCUUUUAAUACGGGUAGUUCCAUGAUCGCAAAGGAAACAUUAGCAUUAUCUCAAUUACAAAACUUGAUUUAUUUUGAGUAUUUACAGGUGCAUGUAGUUGUGGCCGGCGAAGAGAAUGAAGUGGUUGUGAUUGAAUUAGUAGAAAUUGUUGGAAUACCUCAUGACUUCAUUGUAGAUGAUGUGGCCCACGGACAUCCGAGGGUGGUUGUUUGCCUUUUGGACAAUAUCCAUGGCCAGGAACCAGAUUGUGUCAGCCGACUUGUCGCAUAUCCCGACCUUGGCGGCCUACCCGUCGACCGUCCCGUCUCCGGCAGUGCGCCACCGAAACUACCCUAGAGAGCUGGCGGCGACUUUCCUUCGCAUGGGCCAAGCUCGAACACAUUUGGCCCGCAGCAAGGCCAGUGAAAACUCAAGGCGACGACCUCCCAUCUAUGCUGGGUUGCGGUUUGAUUGUCAAGAAGAAGCGCAAGUGGUUCUCAAUCCGUGUCCGACAGUCCAUUAGCUCCUGUAGUGCGCGAGGGAGGAGGGACAUGGUGUUGGGAAUCGUUGCAUGGAAAACAAAAACAAUUCUACGCACACACAAUGAUCUAUCCAUGGAGAUGCAUAGCAACGAGGGGGAGAGUGUGUCUAUGUACCCUUGUAGACUGUAAGAGGAAGAGUUUCACAACGCGGUUGAUGUAGUCAAACUUCUUCACGCUUCAACCGAUCAAGUACCAAACGCCCGGCACCUCCGCGUUCUGCACACGUUUAACACGGUGACGUCCCUCGCCUUCAUGAUCCAGCAAGACGCCGAGGUAGUAGAUGAGUUCCGUCAGCACGACGGCGUGGUGACGAUGAUGGUGAAGUGAUCUCCGCAGGGCUUCGCCUAAGCACUACGGAAAUAUGACCGGGGGUGUAAACGGUGGAAGGGGGCACCGCACACGGCUAGGCAAUUGUCUGGUGUGUGCUAGGCGCCCCCCUCCCACAUAUAUAUAGGUGGGAGGGAGGAAGGAGCAGCCAAAGGAGGCUCACAAGUAGGAGGAAUCCUACUUGGAGUCCCUCCCAAGCCGCGCCCCCUUCUUUCCUUAUUUGGAGUGAGGGGAAAGGUAGGGGAGGGUGGCGCCCCUCCAUUCCCUUUCUCCCAUGAGAGGGAAAGGAAAGAGGGGCUAGCCCUCCACAUUUUACAUCCCUAGGGCUGUUCAAACAAGUGGAGGGGCGCACUAAGCCCAUAACUUGCCCGGGGGUGCCCGGAACCCCUUCCGGUGACCCGAUUCCUUCCCGGUACGUCCCGAAACACUUCCGGUGUCAAAAUACCAUCGUCCUAUAAAUCAAUCUUUCCCUCUCAACCAUUUCGAGACUCCUCGUCAUGUCCGUGAUUUCAUCUGGGACUCCGAACAACAUUCGGUCACCAAAUCAUAUAACUCAUAUAACAUUAUAUCGUCAACGAACGUUAAGCGUGCGGACCCUACGGGUUCGAGAACUAUGUAGACAUGACUGAGACACCUCUCCGGUCAAUAACCAAUAGCGGAACCUAGAUGCCCAUAUUGUCUCCUACAUAUUCUACGAAGAUCUUUAUCGGUCGAACCGUUAUGACAACAUACGUAAUUCCCUUUGUCUAUCGGUAUGUUACUUGCCCGAGAUUCGAUCGUCGGUAUCUUCAUACCUAGUUCAAUCUCGUUACCGACAAGUCUCUUUAUUCGUUCCGUCAUACAUCACCUCGUGAAUAACUACUUAGUCAUUUGCUUGCAAGCUUAUGAUGUGUAUUACCGAGAGGACCCAGAGAUACCUCUCCGAUACUCGGAGAGACAAAUCCUAAUCUCGAUCUAUGCCAACUCAACAAACACCUUCGGAGAUACCUAUAGAGCAUCUUUAUGAUCACCCAGUUAUGUUGUGACGUUUGAUAGCACACAAGGUAUUCCUCCGGUAUCCGAGAGUUGCAUAAUCUCAUAGUCGAAGGAAUAUGUAUUUGACAUGAAGAAAGCAAUAGCAACAAACUGAACGAUCAUUAUGCUAAGUUAACGGAUGGGUCUUGUCCAUCACAUCAUUCUCCUAAUGAUGUGAUCCCGUUAUCAAAUGACAACUCAUGUCCAUGGUUAGGAAACCUUAACCAUCUUUGAUCAAUGAGCCAGUCUAGUAGAGGCUCACUAGGGACACGUUGUUUGUUUAUGUAUUCACACAUGUAUUUAAGUUUCUGAUCAAUACAAUUCUAGCUUGAAUAAUAAACCUUUAUCAUGAUUUAGGAAAUAUAAUAAUAACCAUUUUAUUAUUGCCUUUAGGGCAUAUUUCCAUCAGUCUCCCACUUGCACUAGAGUCAAUAAUCUAGUUCACAUCACCAUGUGAUUUAACACCCAUAGUUCACAUCGCCCUGUGACCAACAUCCAAAGAGUUUAGUAGAUUCAAUAAUCUAGUUCACAUCGCCAUGUGAUUAACCCAAAGAGUACUAAGGUGUGAUCAUGUUUUGCUUGUGAGAGAGGUUUAGUCAACGGGUCUGUCACAUUCAGAUUCGUAUGUAUUUUGCAAAUUUAUGUGUCUACAAUGCUCUGCAUGGAGCUACUCUAGCUAAUUGCUCCCACUCUCAAUAUGUACCCAGAUCGAGACUUAGAGUCAUCCGGAUUGGUGUCAAAGAUUGCAUUGACGUAACUCUUUACGACGAACUCUUUAUCACCUCCAUAACCGAGAAACAUUUCCUUAGUCCUCUUUAGGUACCUAAGGAUAAUUUUUACCGCUGUCUAGUGAUCUACUCCUGGAUCACUAUUGUACCCCCUUGCCAAACUCAUGGCAAGGCACACAACAGGUCUGGUACACAGCAUGACAUACUUUAUAGAACCUAUGACUGAGGCAUAGGGAAUGACUUUCAUUCUCUCUAUAUAUUUUGCCGUGGUUGGGUUUUGAGUCUUACUCAACUUCACACCUUGUAACACAGGCAAGAACCCUUUCUUUGACUGAUCCAUUUUGAACUUCUUCAAAACUUUAUCAAGGUAUGUGCUUUGUGAAAGUCCUAUCAAGCGUCUUGAUCUAUCUCUAUAGAUCUUGAUGCCCAAUAUAUAAGCAGCUUCACCGAGGUCUUUCAUUGAAAAAUUCUUAUUCAAGUAUCCUUUUAUGCUAUCCAGAAAUUCUAUAUCAAUCCCGAUCAACAAUAUGUUAUCCACAUAUAAUAUCAGAAAUGUUACAGAGCUCCCACUCACUUUCUUGUAAAUACAGGCUUCACCAUAAGUCUGUAUAAAACCAUAUGCUUUGAUCACCACAUCAAAGCGUAUAUUCCAAUUCUGAGAUGCUUGCACAGUCCAUAGAUGGAUCGCUGGAGUUUGCACACUUUGUUAGCACCUUUAGGAUCGACAAAACCUUCUGGUUGCAUCAUAUACAACUCUUCUUUAAGAAAUCCAUUAAGGAAUGCAGUUUUGACAUCCAUUUGCUAGAUUUCAUAAUUAUAAAAUGUGGCAAUUGCUAACAUGAUUCAGAGUGACUUAAGCAUCGCUACGGGUGAGAAGGUCUCAUCGUAGUCAACUCCUUAAACUUUUCUAAAACCUUUCGCAACAAGUCAAGCUUUGUAGAUGGUGACAUUACCAUCAGCGUUUGUCUUCUUCUUGAAGAUCCAUUUAUUCUCAAUGGCUUGCCGAUCAUCGGGCAAGUCCACCAAAGUCCAUACUUUGUUCUCACACAUGGAUCCUAUCAUAGAUUUCAUGGUCUCAAGCCAUUUAUCGAAAUCUGGUCUCAUCAUAGCUUCUUCAUAGUUCGUAGGUUCGCCUUGGUCUAGUAACAUGACUUCCAGAACAGGAUUACCGUACCACUCUGGUGCGGAUCGUGCUCUGGUUGACCUACGAGGUUCAGUAGUAACUUGAUCUGAAGUUUCAUGAUCAUCAUCAUUAGCUUCCUCUCUAGUUGGUGUAGGCAUCACGGGAACGGAUUUCUCUGAUGUGCUACUUUCCAAAUUGAGAGAAGGUACAAUUACCUCAUCAAGUUCUACUUUCCUCCCACUUACUUUUUUCAAGAGAAACUCCUUCUCUAGAAAGGUUCCAUUCUUGGCAACAAAGAUCUUGCCUUCGGAUUUGUGGUAUAAGGUGUACCCAAUUGUUUCCUCCGGGUAUUCUAUGAAGACACACUUCUCCGAUUUGGGUUCGAGCUUACCAGGCUGAAGCCUUUUGACAUAAGUGCCGCAACCCCAAACUUUAAGAAACGACAGCUUAGGUUUCUUGCCAAACCACAGUUCAUACGGUGUCAUCUCAACGGAUUUAGAUGGUGCCCUAUUUAACGUGAAUGCGGCUGUCUCUAAUGCAUAACCCCAAAACGAUAGUGGUAAAUCGGUAAGAGACAUCAUAGAUUGCACCAUAUCUAAUAAAGUGCGAUUACGACAUUCGGACACACCAUUACCCUGUGGUGUUCCAGGUGGUGUGAGUUGGGAAACAAUUCCACAAUGUUUUAAAUGAAGUCCAAACUCGUAACUCAAAUAUUCGCGUCCGUGCUCAGAUCAUAGAAACUUUAUUUUCUUGUUACGAUGAUUCUCCACUUCACUCUGAAAUUCUUUGAACUUUUCAAAUGUUCCAGACUUGUGUUUCAUUAAGUAGAUAUACCCAUACCUACUCAAAUCAUCUGCGAAGGUCAGAAAAUAACGAUACCCGCCGCGUGCCUCAAUACUCAUCGGAUCGCAUACAUCGGUAUGUGCUACUUCUUGAGCUUGCGUUGGUUUUUCCCUUGAAGAGGAAAGGGUGAUGCAGCAAAGUAGAGUAAGUAUUUCCCUCAUUUUUGAGAACCAAGGUAUCAAUCCAGUAGGAGACAACACACAAGUCACCGAAUACCUGCACAAACAAACACCAACUUGCACCCAACGCGAUAAAGGGGUUGCCAAUCCCUUCACAGUUAUUUGCAAAUUGAGAUCUGAUAGAGAUGAAUAAAUGGUAAAGUAAUAUUUUUGGUAUUUUUGGUUUAUGGAACGGAAAGUAAAAGAUUGCAAAGGAAGUAAAUAGGAAACUAAAAUUGUAGAUCGGAAACUUAUAUGAUGGAAAGUAGACCCGGGGGCCAUAGGUUUCACUAGAGGCUUCUCUCAAGAUAGAAAUAUUACGGUGGGUGCACAAAUUACUGCCGAGCAAUUGAUAGAAAAGCGCAAAGUUAUGAGAUAUCUAAGGCAAUGAUCAUGAAUGUAGGCAUCACGUCCGUAUCAAGUAGACCGAUUCUUGCCUACAUCUAGAGUAUUAAGUUCAUAAGAACAAAGUAACACAUUAAGUAAGAUGACAUGAUGUAGCGGGAUAAACUCAAGCAAUAUGAUCAAAACCCCAUCUUGUUAUCCUCGAUGGCAACAAUACAAUACGUGUCGGUUCCCCUUGUGUCACUAGGAUCGAGCACUACAAGAUUGAACCCAAAGCUGAGAACUUCUCCCAUUGCAAGAAAAACCAAUCUAGUUGGCCAAACCAAAUCGAUAGUUCGAAGAGACUUGCAAAGAUAUCAAAUCAUGCAUAUAAGAAUUCAGAGGAGAUUCAAAUAAUAUUCAUAGAUAAGCUGAUCAUAAAUGCACAAUUCAUCGGAUCUCGGCAAACACACCGCAAAAGAGUAUUACAUCGAAUAGAUCUCCAAGAACAUCGUGGAGAACAUGGUAUUGAGAAUCAAAGAGAGAGAGGAAGCCAUCUAGCUACUAGCUAUGGACCCGUAGUACUGUGGUAUAAUAUUCACGCUUCAUCGGAGAGGCAAUGGUGUUGAUGUAGAAGCCCUCUGCAAUCGAAUCCCCCUCCGACAGGAUGCCAGAAAAGGCCCCUAGAUGGGAUCUGAUAAUCCACAAGUAUAGGGGAUCGCAACAGUUUUUGAGGGUACAAUAUUCAACCCAAAUUUAUAGAUUCGACACAAGGGGAGCUAAAGAAUAUUUGAAGGUAUUAGCAGCUGAGUUGUCAAUUCAACCACACCUGGAGAUUAAUUAUGUGCAGCAAAGUGAUCAGUAGCAAAGUAGUAUGAUAGUUUUGAUAAUAGUGACAGCAGCAACGGUAACGGUAACAAUGAUAGCAGUAAUUUUGUAUUAAGUGUAACAGUGAUGACAGUAGUAGUAACUUAGCAGAACAAUAUAGGAUAAAUUUGUAGGCAUUGGAUCGAUGACUUGUUGGACGAUAUUCAUCAUGUGACAGUUAUAACCUAGAGCGAUAUGACACUAGCUCCAGUUCAUCGAUAUAAUGUAGGCAUGUACUCCGUAAAUAGUCAUACGUGCUUUAUUAAAAGAACUUGCAUGACAUGUUUUGUCCUACCCUCCUGUGGCAGCGGGGUCCAUAUUGGAAACUAAGGGAUAUUAAGGCCUCCUUUUAAUAGAGACCGGAACAAAGCAUUAACACAUAGUGAAUACAUGAAUUCCUCAAACUACGUUCAUCACUGGGAGUGGGCUUGGUUGUUGUCACUCCGGGGUUGCCGGAUCAUAACACGUAGUAGGUGACUAUAACUUGCAAGAUCGGACCUAAAACAUGGAUAUAAUGAUGAUAACAUAAAUGGUUCAGAUCUGAGUUCAUGGCACCCGGGCCCAAAGUGACAAGCAUUAAGCAUAGCAAAGUCAUAGCAACAUCAAUCUAGGAACAUAGUGGAUACUAGGGAUCAAGCCCUAACAAAACUAACUCGAUUAGAUGAUGAAUCUCAUCCAAAUCCUCACCGACCAGCGAUCCUACGAAGGAAUUACUCACUCCCGGUGGGGAGCAUCAUGGAAUUGGCGAUGGAGAAGGGUUGGUGAUGACGAAGAACGAAGAUCCCCCUCUCUGGAGCCCCAAACGGACUCCAGAUCUGCCCUCCCGAGGAAGAACGGGGCUUGGCGGCGGCUCCGUCUCGUGGAUCGCGAUAAUUCUUUCUCCCUGAUUUUUUCUGGAAUAAUGUGAUUUUAUAGCAUCGGAAUCAGGGUCUGCGGGGCCACUAGGUGGGGACAACCCAACUAGGCGCGCCAGGAGAGGGGGCGUGCCCUGGUGGGUUGUGCCCACCCAGGUUCCCCUCUCUGGCAGGUCUUGGCUCCAGAAAUUCUUAUUAUUGAUAUAAAAAAUCCUCGCAAAGUUUCGUUCCAUUUCGAGAACUUUUAUUUCUGCACAAAAACAACACCAUGGUAGUUCUGCUGAAAACAAUGUCCGUCUGGGGUUAGUUUCAUUCAAAUCAUGCAAAUUAGAGUCCAAAACAAGAGGAAAAGCGUUAGGAAAAGUAGAUACGUUGGAGACGUAUCAACUCCCCCAAGCCUAAACCUUUGCUUGUCCUCAAGCAAUUCAGUUGAUAAACUGAAAGUGAAAAAGAAAAACUUUUUACGAACUCUUUUGCUCUUGUUUGCAUAAAUAAGCUUAAACAGCACCCAGGUUUUCAACCAACAUGAUAACUAACCAUGCCUACAAUAACUCUUAAAGAUUAUAAUGACUCAUAUCAAUGACAUAAUCAGCUAGCGAGCAAUAAUAAGAUAUCUCAAACAGCAACACGUUGUCAAUACAACCAUGAUAUAAUAUGACAAUAGUGAUAUCUCACUAGCCCUUUCUGAGACCGCAAAACAUAAAUGCAGAGCACCUCCAAAGUUCAAGCAGCGACUAAACAUUGUAAUUCAUGGUAGAAAAGAUCCAGUCAUGAUGCACCCAACAUUAGCUACACACAAUGCAUAAAUCAUGACAACUGUGCUCUCUCAGUUUCUGGCGCUUGUUUAAGAAGGUGAUGACACAACAUAAAAGUAAAUAGAUAGUCCCUUCGCAGAGGGAAGCAGUGAUUUGCAGAGGUGCCAGAGAUCAAGUUUUAAAACAGAGGUAAAUGAUAUUUUGAGACAUGCACCUUUCUCAUUUACUUCAUGACAAUCAGUUAUCAAUAUCUUCCAUGCUAAGCACGCUAGUGGCGGUUCCCAAGCGAUAAAAGUAAAGGUUUUGACUCCAUUGGGAGUUUUUGUUUUAUUAUUUGAGAGAUUAACUCUUUUUCAUGUUUGCAGUUUGGGACUGGGCAUCCCUAUUACCGCCCUUUUCUCGUGCGAUGGCGAAUGAAUAAACACUCGACUUGAGAAUAACCCGCUUAGCAUGGAAGAUACCGACCACCUCCUGUCGUUCCAUGAACGAUCCAGGCACACAAAAAGGAUAAUUUUUUUAGAAGUUUUUAGAGGUGGCACAUGCAAAUUUACUUAGGACGGCAGGGUAAUACCGUAUAUAGGUAGGUAUGGUGGACUCAUCUGGAAGAACUUUGGGUUCAAGAUUUUUGAUGUACAAGCAGAGUUCCCACUUAGUACAGGCGAAGGCUAGCAAGAAGCGGCCAGCUAGAGAGCAACAGCGAUCAUAACCAUGCAUUAUGCAUAAGUAACAUUGGACACUAGCAUGAGUAGGAUAUGAACACCAUGAACAUAAAUAUCAUAGAGGCUAUGUUGGUUUUGAUUCAACUACAUGCAUGAACAUUUGCCAAGUCAAGCCACUCGAAGGUUCAGAGGAGGAUACCAUAUUAUCAUACCACAUCACAAUCAUUUUAACGCUAUGUUGAUAUCCAAGAUAAAUCAUUAUCAACUCCCAGCUAAUUAUGCAUGGCAUGAGAAACUAUAAUCUCUAAUUUUCAUUGCAAACAUGUUUAAUCAUAAUGGGCUGAAUCAUGGAUACUAGGUUAAACAUAUUUACACAAACAGAACAAGUCGAGUUCAUACCAGUUUCUCUCUGCCACGGCCAGUCAUCGGAUAUUGUCAUUAUUGCCUUUCACUUGCACGACCGAAUGAUAUGAAAAUAAUAAUAGUGCAAGAGUGUCGUGGACUAAGCUGAAAUCUGCAAACAUUUUAUUCAACAGGAGAAGACAAGGUAAAAUGUGCUCUUUAUUAGUUCAUUAAUUAUUCAUAUGAGAGCCAUUCAACAUUUUCAUCGUGGUCUUCUCCUCGGUACAACUCGAAUAAAAAGAAAAGAAAUUCAGAGAAACACACUGAAAUAUUUUUGGAGUUUAUGGUUUUCUUGAACAAGGAAAUAAAAGGGAAAAGCAAAAACGAGAAAAACUAUUUACAUGGGAAAGCUCCCAACAAGCAAAAGAAGAACAAGGAAAUCUUUUUGGAUUUUCUUUUUAACGCUACUACUAAGCAUGCAUAGAAAGUAAAUUACUACAACUAAUUUUUUUGGUUUUUCUAAAAAAAUUAAACACACAAGAAGAAAGCAAGAAAAUAAAUCUAAGCAUGGAUGAUACAAUGAAAAAGUGUGAACACCGACGAAUGGAAUGAUAUGUGGGAACAUGAAUAUAAAGUCGGUGGAAAACACAUACUCCCCCAAGCUUAGGCCUUUGGCCUAACUUGGUAGUCGAUGAGUAGCUUGGAGGGUAGUAGUCGGCGUGGUAGCUCACGGAGGCUCUUGGUGCGGACGCCUCGGCCUGCCGUGCUGCCUCUACUGCUACGUUGUGAGCUCGGGUCUCGCUCUCAAGAACAAAAUAUCUUCCUUUGCUGUGAUAGUCAAAAAGAGCAGGCGCAGGCAAAUAUGUGUGCACAACAGAUUUUUGAUUAAACAAUAGAUUAUAAGUGAAGUUAUCAACCUUUCCCUUGAGAAUCUUAUGUUCUUUUAAAGUGUCAAAAUCUAAAUAUUGCGUGGGUAGGAUAGGUCAAAGGGCAAAUGUGAAACACCCAGCCCUUGUGCUAAACGCGUGGCAUAAAUUCCACCAUAGAACCAGCCACUGUUAGUGUUAUGCUGAAGUCUACGUGCAACAAUAGCUCCAAGGUUAUAGUCUCCUUCACUAGUGAGAGCGGUGCGUAUGAGUCUCAAGUCUGGAGCACAAAGCGUACUGCAGUCCUGCUUGCCUACUAUACAUUUCCCGUUGAAUAAUGCAAAGUACUGAAUCGCGGGAAAAUGAAUGCUCUUUAUUCUACCUUGUGUCACUCCCCUCCUUUCACCAGAACAGAGACUAGUCAAAAAUGUUUCGAACUCAGCCUUUGGUGGUUCGUCAAGCGAACCCCAAAAUGGAAGCUUGUAGUGAUGAGCAAAAUUCUCUAGUGAGAUGGUAAAUGGACUAUCAUAAAGCAUAAACGACACCCUAGACUCACGGGGAAAGAAUUUAAACUCUUUGACAAAUGAUUCAGUGAGAAGUUGGCGUUCUUCACACUUAUCUGAAAGGUAGGGACCGAGACCGGCAUUGUGAACAUAUUGCUCAAAUUCCUCCUUAAUGCCCACACGCAUCUAUAUUCAUAGCAAGGCCAUAAGCAUGUUUUGGUGGUGGCAUCUCGUGUGGAACUUUCACUUGAUUCAACAUAAGACCGGCGAGCGGAACUGUCACUAGAGGAUGUCGCCGAGGAUCGUCUCCUCGAAGAACUCCUUCCAAAUAGGUUCAUCAUGUCCACGUACAAUUAUCCGAAAAUAAAAAAUUUUGGGGUGACAAAAAUUAUCAACAAAACUUUAUAAAAUUGAUAGAAACUACUCAUAGGGAUACAUAGAGGCCAUAGCAAGCAUCCAAACUACUUAGAACACUAAGAAUUCAACAUGCAAGCUCAUCUACAGCAGCACCAAGAGUAGCUAAUUAUUCAAAAUAUAAACCGCUAAAAUAAAAACUAAUUGGACAAAUGGUGGAGUCACAUACCAAACAACAAUCCCCCGAAACAGUUUUGGAAAUGGAGUUUCGAGCAAAGAGAUCGAAAUCCGCGGGUUUGAGAGCAAGAAAACGGGAGAGAGCGCAAUGAAGAAUUUUUUCUGGAGGUAAGUGAUGAUGUGGGAUGAAGAGGUGAGUGAGGGGGCCCACGUGGGGACCACAACCCACCAGGGUCACCGGGCUGCAUGUGUGUUGAACGCGGAGGCACCGUUGUUCGGUGCUUAGAUCGGAUUCGGCCGCGAUCUGAAUCGCUUCGUGUACGACUCCACCAACCGCGUUCUUGCAACGCUUCCGCAUCGCGAUCUUCAAGGGUAUGAAGAUGCACUCCCUCUCUCUCGUUGCUAGCAUCUCCUAGAUUGAUCUUGGUGACACAUAGGAAAAUUUUGAAUUUCUGCUACGUUCCCCAACAGUGGCAUCAUGAGCUAGGUCUAUGCGUAGAUUCUAUGCACGAGUAGAACACAAAGUAGUUGUGGGCGAUGAUUUGUUCAAUUUGCUUGCCGUUACUAGUCUUAUCUUGAUUCGGCGGCAUUGUGGGAUGAAGCGGCCCGGACCGACCUUACAUGUACACUUACGUGAGACAGGUUCCACCGACUGACAUGUACUUGAUGCAUAAGGUGGCUAGCGGGUGUCUGUCUCUCCCACUUUAGUCGGAUCGGAUUCGAUGAAGAGGGUCCUUAUGAAGGGUAAAUAGAAAUUGGCAUAUCACCGUUGUGGCUUUUGCGUAGGUAAGAAACGUUCUUGCUAGAAACCCAUAGCAGCCACGUAAAACAUGCAACAACAAUUAGAGGACGUCUAACUUGUUUUUGCAGGGUAUGCUAUGUGAUGUGAUAUGGCCAAAAGGAUGUGAUGAAUGAUAUAUGUGAUGUAUGAGAUUGAUCAUGUUCUUGUAAUAGGAAUCACGACUUGCAUGUCGAUGAGUAUGACAACCGGCAGGAGCCAUAGGAGUUGUCUUAAUUUAUUGUAUGACCUGCGUGUCAAUGAAAACGCCAUGUAAUUACUUUACUUUAUUGCUAACCGUUAGCCAUAGUAGUAGAAGUAAUAGUUGGCGAGACAACUUCAUGAAGACACGUUGAUGGAGAUCAUGAUGAUGGAGAUCAUGGUGUCAUGCCGGUGACGAAGGUGAUCAUGCCGCGCCUCGAAGAUGGAGAUCAAAAGGCGCAAGAUGAUAUUGGCCAUAUCAUGUCACUUUAUGAUUUGCAUGUGAUGUUUGUCAUGUUUACAUCUUAUUUGCUUAGAACGACGGUAGCAUAAAUAAGAUGAUCCCUCUCUAAAAUUUCAAGUAUGUGUUCCCCCUAACUGUGCACCAUUGCGAAGGAUCGUUGUUUUGAAGCACCACGUGAUGAUCGGGUGUGAUAGAUUCUAACGUUCGCAUACAACGGGUGUAAGCCAGAUUUACACAUGCAAAACACUUAGGUUGACUUGAUGAGCCUAGCAUGUACAGACAUGGCCUCGGAACACAAGAGACCGAAAGGUCGAACAUGAGUCGUAUAGCAGAUACGAUCAACAUGAAGAUGUUCACCGAUGAUGACUAGUCCGUCUCACGUGAUGAUCGGACACGGCCUAGUUGACUCGCAUCAUGUAUCACUUAGAUGACUAGAGGGAUGUCUAUCUGAGUGGGAGUUCAUUAAAUAAUUUGAUUAGAUGAACUUAAUUAUCAUGAAUAUAGUCAAAAGGUCUUUGCAAAUUAUGUCAUAGCUUACGCUUUAGUUCUACUAAGAUAUGUUCCUAGAGAAAAUUUAGUUGAAAGUUGAUAGUAGCAAUUAUGCGGACUGGGUCCGUAAACUGAGGAUUGUCCUCAUUGCUGCACAGAAGGCUUAUGUCCUUAAUGCACCGCUCGGUGUGCUGAAAGUCGAGCGUCGUUUGUGGAUGUUGUGAACAUCUGACAUACACGUUUUGAUGACUACGUGAUAGUUCAGUGUGUGAUGCUAACUGUUUAAAAUUGUGGCACCAAAGACGGUUUUGAAACGUCGCAGAACAUAUGAGAUGUUCCAAAGACUGAAAUUGGGAUUUCAGACUAGUGCCCACGUCAAGAGGUAUGAGACCUCUGACAAGUUUCUUAAGCCUGCAAACUAAGGGAGAAAAGCUCAAUCGUUGAGCAUGUGCUCAGAUUGUCUGAGUACUACAAUCGCUUGAAUCGAGUGGGAGUUAAUCUUCCAGAUGAGAUAGUGAUGGUUCUCCAUAGUCACUGACACCAAGCUAUUAGAGCUUCGUGAUGAACUAUAACAUAUCAGGGAUAGACAUGAUGAUCCUUGAGCAACUCGCGAUGUUUGACACCGCGAAAGUAGAAAUCAAGUAGGAGGAUCAAUUGUUGAUGGUUAGUAAAACCACUAGUUUCAAGAAGGGCAAGGGCAAGAAGGGAUACUUCAUGAAACGGCAAAUCAGUUGCUGCUCCAGCGAAGAAACCCAAGGUUGAACCCAAACCCGAGACUAAGUGCUUCUGUAAUGAGGGGAACGGUCACUGAAGCAGAACUACCCUAGAUACUUGGUAGAUGAGAAGGCGGGCAAGGUCGACAGAUGUAUAUUGGAUAUACAUUAUAUUAAUGUGUACUUUACUAGUACUCCUAGUAGCACCAGGGUAUUAGAUACCGGUUUGGUUGCUAAGUGUUGGUAACUCGAAAUAAAAGGCUACGGAAUAAAGGGAGACUAGCUAAAGGUGAGAUGAUGAUAUGUGUUGGAAGUGUUUCCAAGGUUGAUGUGAUCAAACAUCGCACGCUCCCUCUACCAUCGAGAUUGGUGUUAAACCUAAAUAAUUGUUAUUUGGUGUUUGCGUUGAGCAUAGACAUGAUUAGAUUAUGUUUAUCGCAAUACGGUUAUUCAUUUAAGGAGAAUAAUGGUUACUCUGUUUAUUUGAAUAAUACCUUCAAUGGUCUUGCACCUAAAAUGAAUGGUUUAUUGAAUCUCGAUCGUAGUGAUACACAUGUUCAUGCCAAAAGAUAUAAGAUAGUAAUGAUAGUACCACAUACUUGUGGCACUGCCAUUUGAGUCAUAUUGGUAUAAAACGCAUGAAGAAGCUCCAUGUUGAUGGAUCUUUGGACUCACUCGUUUUUUGAAAAGUUUGAGACAUGCGAACCAUGUCUAUUGGUUUAUACGCAUGAAGAGACUCCAUACAGAUGGAUCGUUUGGACUCACUUGAUUUUGAAUCACUUGAGACAUGCAAAUCAUACCACAUGGGCAAGAUGACUGAAAGGCCUCGUUUUCAGUAAGAUGAAACAAGAGAGCAACUUGUUGGAAGUAAUACAUUUGAUGUGUGCAGUCCAAUGAGUGCUGAGGCAUGCAGUGGAUAUCGUUAUGUUCUUACUUCACAGAUGAUUUGAGUAGAUGCUGAGUAUAUUUACUUGAUGAAACACAAGUCUGAAUUAUGGAAAGGUUCAAGUAAUUUCAGAGUGAAGUUGAAGAUCGUCGUGACAAGAGGACAAAAUGUCUGUGAUAUGAUCAUAGAGAUGAAUAUCUGAGUUACGAGUUUGGCACACAAUUAAGACAUUGUGGAAAUUGUUUCACAACUAAUACCGCCUGGAACACCAUAGUGUGAUGGUGUGUCCGAACAUCAUAACUGCACCCUAUUGGAUAUGGUGCAUACCAUGAUGUCUCUUAUCAAAUUACACUAUCGUUUAUGGGUUAGGCAUUAGAGACAACCGCAUUCACUUUAAAUAGGGCACCACACAACUCCGUUGAGACGACACCGUAUGAACUAUGGUUGAGAGAAACCUAAGCUGUCGUUUCUUAAAAGUUUGGGGCUGCGACGCUUAUGUGAAAAAGUUUCAGGCUGAUAAGCUCGAACCCAAAGCGGAUAAAUGCAUCUUCAUAGAAUACCCAAAACAGUUGGGUAUACCUCCUAUUUCAGAUCUGGAAGCAAAAGUGAUUGUUUCUAGAAACGGGUCCUUUCUCGAGGAAAAAUUUCUCUCAAAAGAAUUGAGUGGGAGGAUGGUGGAGACUUGAUGAGGUUAUUGAACCAUGACUUCAACUAGUGUGUAGCAGGGCACAGGAAGUUGUUCCUGUGGCACCUACACCAAUUGAAGUGGAAGCUUAUGAUAGUGAUCAUGAAACUUCGGAUCAAGUCACUACCAAACCUCGUAGGUCGACAAGGAUGCGUACUACUUCAGAGUGGUACAUAAUCCUGUCUUGGAAGUCAUGUUGCUAGACAACAAUGAGCCUACGAGCUAUGGAGAAGCGAUGGUGGGCCCGGAUUCUGAUGAAUGGCUCGAGGCCAUAAAAUCCGAGAGAGGAUCCAUAUAUAAAAACAAAGUAUAGACUUUGGAAGAACUACUUGAUGGUCGUAAGGCUGUUGGGUGCAGAUGGAUUUUAAAGGGAAAACAGACAAUGAUGGUAAGUAUCACCAUUAAGAAAGCUCGACUUGUCGUUAAGAUAUUUUCUGACAAGUUCAAGGAGUUGACUACGAUGAGACUUUCUCACUCGUAGCGAUGCUAAGAGUCUGUUGGAAUUAUAUUAGCAGUUACUGCAUUAUUUAUGAAAUCUUGCAGAUAGGAUGUCAAAAACAUUGUUUCCUCGACGAUUUUCUUGAGGAAAGGUUGUAUGUGAUACAACCAGAAGGUUUUGUCAAUCCUGAAAGAUGCUAACAAGUAUGCAAAGCUCCAGCAAUCCUUCUAAGGACUAAGCAUCUCAGAGUUGGAAUGUACGCUUUGAUGAGAUGAUCAAAGAUUUUGGGUUUUUACAAAGUUUAUGAGAAACUUGUAUUUCCAAAGAAGUGAAUGGGAGCACUAUAGAAUUUUUUGAUGAGUAUAUGUUGUUAACAUAUUGUUGAUCAGAAAUGAUGUAGAAUUUCUGGAAAGCAGACAGGGUUAUUUGAAAAGUGUUUUUAAUGGAAAACCUGGAUUAAGCUACUUGAACAUUGAGCAUCAAGAUCUAUAAGGAUAGAUCAAAAACGCUUAAUAGUACUUUCAAAUGAAUACAUACCGUGACAAGAUUUUGAAGGAGUUCAAGAUAGAUCAGCAAAGAAGGAGUUCUUGGCUGUGUUACAAGCUGUGAGUAUUGAGUAAGACUCAAGACCUAACCACGGCAGAAGAGGGAGAAAGGACGAAGGUCGUCCCCUAUGCUUUAGACGUAGGCUCUACAGUAUGCUAUGCUGUGUGCCGCACCUGAAGUGUGACUUGCCAUGAGUCAGUCAAGGGGUACAAGAGUGAUCCAGGAAUGGAUCACAUGACAGCGGUCGAACUUAUCCUUAGUAACUAGUGUACUAAGGAAUUUUCUCGAUUAUGGAGGUGGUAAAAGAGUUCGUCGUAAAGGGUUACGUCGAUGCAAACUUUGACACUAAUCCGGAUGACUCUGAGUAGUAAACCGGAUUCGUAUAGUAGAGCAGUUAUUUGGAAUAGCUCCAAGUAGCGCGUGGUAGCUGCAUCUACAAGAUGACAUAGAGAUUUGUAAAGCACACAUGGAUCUGAAAGGUUCAGACCCGUUGACUAAUAACCUCUCUCACAAGCGAGAUAUGAACUAACCCCAUGGGUGUUGGAUUCGUUACAAUCACAUAGUGAUGUGAACUAGAUUAUUGACUCUAGUGCAAGUGGGAGACUGUUGGAAAUAUGCCCUAGAGGCAAUAAUAAAAUGGUUAUUAUUGUAUUUCCUUGUUCAUGAUAAUUGUCUAUUGUUCAUGCUAUAAUUGUAUUAACUGGAAACCGUAAUACAUGUGUGAAUACAUAGACCACAACAUGUCCCUAGUAAGCCUCUAGUUGACUAGCUCGUUCAUCAAUAGAUGGUUAUGGUUUCCUGACCAUGGACAUUGGAUGUCAUUGAUAACGGGAUCACAUCAUUAGGAGAAUGAUGUGAUGGACAAGACCCAAUCCUAAGCAUAGCACAAGAUCGUGUAGUUCGUUUGCUAAGAGCUUUUCUAAUGUCAAGUAUCAUUUCCUUAAAAAGACCAUGAGAUUGUGCAACUCCCGGAUACCAUAGGAAUGCUUUGGGUGUACCAAACGUCACAACGUAACUCGGUGGCUAUAAAGGUACACUACAAGUAUCUCCGAAAGUGUCUGUUGGGUUGGUACGAAUCAAGACUGGGAUUUGUCACUCCGUAUGACGGAGAGGUAUCUCUGGGCCCACUCGGUAAUGCAUCAUCAUAAUGAGCUCAAUGUGACUAAGUAGUUAGUCACGGGAUCAUGCAUUACGGAACGAGUAAAGUGACUUGUCGGUAACGAGAUUGAACGAGGUAUUGGGAUACCGGCGAUCGAAUCUCGGGCAAGUAACAUACCGAUAAACAAAGGGAAUUGUAUACGGGAUUGAUUGAAUCCCCGACAUCGUGGUUCAUCCGAUGAGAUCAUCGUGGAACAUGUGGGAGCCAACAUGGGUAUCCAGAUCCCGCUGUUGGUUAUUGGCCGGAGAACGUCUCGGUCAUGUCUGCAUGGUUCCAGAACCCGUAGGGUCUACACACUUAAGGUUCGAUGACGCUAGGGUUAUAGGGAAUAGAUAUACGUGGUUACCGAAUGUUGUUUGGAGUCCCGGAUGAGAUCCCGGACGUCACGAGGAGUUCCGGAAUGGUCCGGAGGUAAAGAAUAAUAUAUAGGAAGUGAGGUUUUGGCCACCGGAAGAGUUUCGGGCGUCACCGGUAAUGUACCGGGACCACCGGAGGGUUCCGGGGUUCCACCGUGAGGGGCCACCAACCCCGGAGGCCUGCGUGGGCCAAGUGUGGGAAGGGACCAGCCCCUGAGUGGGCUGGUGCGCCUCCCACUAGGGCCCAAGGCGCAGCUUGGAGGGGAAAGGGGGAAACCCUAGGCGCAGAUGGGCCUAAGGCCCACCCUAGGGCGCGCCCCCUUUCUCCCCCUCUUGGCCGCCCCUCCAUCCCAUCUAGGGCUGCCGCCCCCCCUAGGGGUGGGAACCCUAGAGGGGGCGCACCCUCCUCCCCUCCUCCUAUAAAUAGUGGGGGUUUUGGGGCUGCAGAAGACAUGAGUCUCCCUCUCUCUUGGCGCAGCCCUACCCCUCUCCCUCCUCGACUCUCGCAGUGCUUGGCGAAGCCCUGCUAGAGUGCUACGCUCCUUCAUCACCACCAUGCCAUUGUGCUGCUGCUGGACGGAGUCUUCCCUAACCUCUCCCUCUCUCCUUGCUGGAUCAAGGCAUGGGAGACGUCACCGGGCUGCAUGUGUGUUGAACGCGGAGGCACCGUUGUUCGGUGCUUAGAUCGGAUUCGGCCGCGAUCUGAAUCGCUUCGUGUACGACUCCACCAACCGCGUUCUUGCAACGCUUCCGCAUCGCGAUCUUCAAGGGUAUGAAGAUGCACUCCCUCUCUCUCGUUGCUAGCAUCUCCUAGAUUGAUCUUGGUGACACGUAGGAAAAUUUUGAAUUUCUGCUACGUUCCCCAACAAUGUUGUCCUCCUCGGGCAUCUCAAGUAUAACAAAGUCAAUCAAAAUAGUAACAUCAGCAACAACAACGGGCACAUCCUCACAAAUACCAAUAGGUAUGGCCGUUGAUUUGUCAGCCAUUUUGUGACGCCCCGAGACCGACGCUUCUGACGCCUUCCUUGUUUUCGUUGUCGCCGUGUGUUUUAUUUGUUUGUUGCAUUCAUCAUCGCAUUGCAUCCGCAUGUUUUCAUAAAACUUGUAGUUGCUCGUAGUUGCCGCAUUCCCCUUGCCUUCGUUGACCGUUCCGAGACCAACCAGAUUUUGUUUCCCUCUUGCAUGGCUUCCUAACCUCUCUGCACACCCUGCAAACCCCUCGCGUGCGCAUCCGAAACUUCUCCGAACCCGACCCAAGCAGUCAUGACCGAUGGGGCCGGAUCAUCCUCCAACAUCUAUAAAACAUCUCCAUUUUCUUAUUUGGACUCCCCCAACAUAAUUGUCUCGACCAUCCAAUUUAAAUCGGAAGGUCCUAACCUAGUUCUGUUUCCCUAUAUAUAGUCCACCCACUUACCAAAUCAGUCUAACCCUAGCCUAACCCUAUUCCCCCUUGCGCCGCCACCCACUCUCGCAUGUUCCUCGGGAUCCUUCCCCGACCAACCCCCUUCUUCCUCGGAUUCCUCCCGAUCUCUCCACCCAACCAGCGAGCCUCCUCUCGAUCCCUCCCAAAUCAAUCGCAGCAGCCUCGCUCUGUUCGAGAGGAGAUCAGCCCCGAGACUUCCUUGCCUCGUCGCCCGCCCGCAUGCUCGAGGACGCUCGAGGCCGUGCCUCCUCUUCAAUCCUCUGCUCGAUCUCGAGUGGAUCGUAAGCACCAGCGCCUCCCCGCCGCCUUGCGCGUCGACGCCGCCGGCGACAACAGCAGCAGCAGGUCAUGCCGCCGGCCUCAUCCCGCUCCUCUCCUCCCCUGUAUCUCCCUUCCUCCCCGUGCUUCUCUCUCUCACGUCUCCCUCUCGUUUCUCUGGCAGGAAACCCCAUGACCGCGCCUGACCUACGCCAAGCUCCGCCGCCGCCGUCCCGUGCGCGCCUCCAGUCUUCCCCGCCUGGAUCUGGCGCCCUUCGUCCAUCCUCGCAGGAGUCGCACCAAGUUCCCCUGCAUCGAGCGGGACAACCCCGCGUUGACCCCGCGCCUCGCCCGUUCCAGUCGAGACGCUCGAACCUCCUCUGCUUCCCUCUCGCCCGCACGUGCCGCAUCGACCUCCCCUGCUCCGUUCAUCGUCGUCUCUGCCAGAUCCGGCGAGUCCCUGCACCCCGGCCUUGUCCCUGGCUCCAGGUCGCCGCGCCACCCCACCGGAGACCGCCAAGUCCAUCGCCGACCUCCCCUGCUUCUGCGUGCGAGCACGCGAGGACGAUGACCGCAGCGCCAAGUCCCGCUCGGUUCAGCCCGCUCCGUUGACCGCGCCUUCCUCACCCGCGUGGACCGCUCCAUGCCUCCAGGCUCAGCUGGGCUUGGCCCAAUGUGAGCAACCCUCGCCCAGAUCCAGAUUCAUCCCAGUGCAUGUUUUUUCCUUCCUGCGAAUUUGUCUAAUUAUCCAGAGUUGGUAGAAUUGCAGAAAAACCCUCUAACUUCAUGCAUAUAAUUACUCAUGAACUAUGUAUCAUAUGUAAAUAAUUUAUAUAUGCAAAAUGCUUAGAAUUUUAUCUAGUUUCAUAAUAUGCUGCUUUCAUCCAUGUUUAAAAUGUUUAAACUUGUUGUUUGUUUAAUUUUACAUAAAUGCCAUGUUAAAAUGAUUUAUUUCAUAACUAAUUAACCGUAGCUCCAAAUUUAAUAAACUUUAUAUGUAAAUGGGGUAGAAAAAUGCAUAGAUUAACAUGGUGUACUUUUUGUACUGUUUAAUAACAUUAAAAUAUGUUUUAGGGCAGAACAGUAGCUAAUUCGAAAAAUGGACAUGGGGAUUUUCCAGAAUUGUUGUUUGUUGUUCCGGCCUCAUUUAAACUUGCCUAGAUAGGUAGUUUUCAUAUGCUUCACCCCUUUGCCAUGUUUAAUAACAUUUAAUAUUGUUGGGUACAUAACCGAGAGAGAACUAAAUAAUUGAUGUGGUGUUUCUUCAAUAUGCAAUUCAUUGCAUAUUGCGCUCCACCUAAUUUGUAGUAUUGUUUGUGCACUUUGCCAUGCCAUGCCUCAUUAAACCGGACAUGCAUCAUACUUGAUUGUGCAUCAUGCCAUGUUUAUGUGAUGCUUGUUUAGCAUGUUGAUUGCUUCUUUCCGGUUUGCUUCUCUCGUUAGCUUCGGUUUCGUUCCGGAGUUGUGAGGAUUCGUUCGACUACGUCCGCUUGUCUUCUUCAUGGACUCGUUCUUCUUCCUUGCGGGAUCUCAGGCAAAGAUAACCAUUACCCUCGAUAUCACUUCUAUCUUUACUUGCUAGUUGUUCGUUCUAUCGCUAUGUUGCGCUACCUACCACUUUUUUAUCAUGCCUCCCAUAUUGCCAUGUCAAGCCUCUAACCCACCGUCCUAGCAAACCGUUGUUUGGCUAAGUUACCGCUUUUGCUCAGCUCCCUCUUAUAGCGUUGCUAGUUGCAGGUGAAGAUGAAGCUGGUUCCAUGUUGGAACAUGAUGAUGUUGGGAUAUCACAAUAUCUCUUAUUUUAAUGAAUGCAUCUAUAUACUUGGUAAAGGGUGGAAGGCUCAACCUUAUGCCUGGUGUUUUGUUCCACUCUUGACGCCCUAGUUUCCGUCAUACCGGUGUUAUGUUCCUUGAUUUUGCGUUCCUUACGCGGUUGGGCUUAUGGGACCCCCUUGACAGUUCACUUUGAAUAAAACUCCUCCAGCAAGGCCCAACCUUGGUUUUAACAUUUGUCACCUAAGCCUUUUUCCCUUGGGUUCUAUAGACUCAAGGGUCAUCUUUAUUUUAACCCCCCCCCCCCGGGCUAGUGCUCCUCUGAGUGUUGGUCCAAACUACAGCCCUUUGCAGCGCCACCUCGGGGAAACUUGAGGUCUGGUUUUAGUUGUACGGAUUGCUCAUCCGGUGUGCCCUGAGAACGAGAUAUGUGCAGCUCCUAUCGGGAUUUGUCGGCACAUUCGGGUGGUCUUGCUGGUCUUGUUUUACCAUUGUUGAAAUGUCUUGUAACCGGGAUUCCGAGUCUGAUCGGGUUAUUCCGGGAGAAGGAAUAUCCUUCAUUGAUCGUGAGAGCUUGUGAUGGGCUAAGUUGGGACACCCCUGCAGGGUAUAAACUUUCGAAAGCCGUGCCCGCGGUUAUUUGGCAGAUGGAAAUUUUCUAAUCUCCAGUUGUAGAGAACUUGACACUUGACUUAAUUAAAAUGCAUCAACCGCGUGUGUAGCCGUGAUGGUCUCUUUUCGGCGGAGUCCAGAAAGUGAACACGGUUUGGGUUAUGUAUGAACGUAAGUAGUUUCAGGAUCACUUUUUGAUCACCCCUAGCUUCUUGACCGUUGCAUUGCUUCUCUUCUCGCUCUUAUUUGCGUGUGUUAGCCACCAUAUAUGCUUAGUUCUUGCUGCAGCUCCACCCCAUUACCCCAUCCUACCCAUAAGCUUAAAUAGUCUUGAUCUCGCGGGUUUUGAGAUUGCUGAGUCCUCGUGACUCACAGAUACUACGAAAACAGUUGCAGGUGUCGACGAUACCAUUGCAGGUGACGCAACCGAGUUCAAGUGGGAGUUCGACGAGGACCUUGGUCAUUCCUAUGUUUUCUUUUCCUGUUGAUCAGUAGUGGAGCUCAGUUGGGACGAUCGGGGAUCUAGCAUUUGGGGUUAUCUUCUUUUCUUUUGUAUUUGAGCGUAGUCGGUCUAUGUGUGUACUCUGAUGAUGUAUGAUUUCCUUAAGUAUUGUGUGAAGUGGCGAUUAUAAGCCAACUCUUUAUCCCAUUCUUGUUCAUUACAUGGGAUUGUGUGAAGAUGACCCUUCUUGCGACAAAACCACCAUGCGGUUAUGCCUCUAAGUCGUGCCUCGACACGUGGGAGAUAUAGCCGUACCGUGGGUGUUACACAUUUGCAAAGAUAUUUCAGUAGGUGUGAGUUUAUUCAAGUCAAGUCUUUUAUAUAAAGAUAAAGGCAUAACACUAACACCAGCUCCUAAAUCACACAAAGCAGUUUUCACAUAAUUCUUUUUGAUAGAGCAAGGUAUAGUUGGUAUUCCCGGAUCUCCAAGUUUUUUGUAACAUCCCAAAUUUUCAAUUUGGAAUGUUAUACAUAGAUCAUACAAUGCAUAGCAUAUUUUUCUUGCAUUUUGACAAAUCCUCGAUAAAUCCUAAGCAACUCAAGGACCCUCAGAGAGAGUUGGGGAUUUUCUCGAUUUUUCAUAUUUGAUUUUAUCAAAUAAUAAAACGAGGAUUUUGGUUUUAAUUAUUUUCUCUCCGGGAAAAAUAUUUCAUUAAAAAAUAAACGAGAGGAGAAAAUAUGACUUCUCCAAAACAAUUGAAAUACUGGAGGAAAAAUAUUAAAAUCAUAUAUUGGAUUUUAUCCGGAUUUUAUUUGCAAUUUUAAUUGCAUUAAAAAAUUGCACGUUUUCAAAACAGCAUUUUUGUGUCAAAAAAAUGUUCACCCUGUUCUAAUUAUUUUAACUAGACGGGGAAAAUUUGUUUUAUAUUUUUUUGGAUUUUUAUUUAUUUUUCUAUGAAUUCUUUUCGGCGGAAUGUUUAAAAAAAACGCGCCGCGCCCGACCGGGCGGAGGCCCAGCCGAGCGGCCGGCCCAGCCGCGUCNNNNNNNNNNNNNNNNNNNNNNNNNNNNNNNNNNNNNNNNNNNNNNNNNNNNNNNNNNNNNNNNNNNNNNNNNNNNNNNNNNNNNNNNNNNNNNNNNNNNNNNNNNNNNNNNNNNNNNNNNNNNNNNNNNNNNNNNNNNNNNNNNNNNNNNNNNNNNNNNNNNNNNNNNNNNNNNNNNNNNNNNNNNNNNNNNNNNNNNNNNNNNNNNNNNNNNNNNNNNNNNNNNNNNNNNNNNNNNNNNNNNNNNNNNNNNNNNNNNNNNNNNNNNNNNNNNNNNNNNNNNNNNNNNNNNNNNNNNNNNNNNNNNNNNNNNNNNNNNNNNNNNNNNNNNNNNNNNNNNNNNNNNNNNNNNNNNNNNNNNNNNNNNNNNNNNNNNNNNNNNNNNNNNNNNNNNNNNNNNNNNNNNNNNNNNNNNNNNNNNNNNNNNNNNNNNNNNNNNNNNNNNNNNNNNNNNNNNNNNNNGAAGCCCGCAGCGCCGCCGCCCCGCUCGCCGAACCCCGCCGCCGUUCGCCGCCCCAAGCCCGCCCGAGCCCCCGACGGAGCCCAGCCGAGCCCCGUCGGAGCCCCGUUCCGACGAGGUACCGACUCGCCGUCGUUUGCCGGUUUUCUAAAAAAAACCGUUCGUUUAAAAAAAACCUAGAUCGGUUUAUUUCUUCGGUUUUAUUAUUUAGUGAACAUUCACCGACCCGUUCGUUUUAACGAACGCGUUCGUCGGAUUUUCUCUGUUAACGAACGUCCGUUCGUUAACGUUCGUCAGUUUUCUUUUUCGUCAGAUUUUUCCGCGAUUAUCUCAGAUCUCGAUUUCUGAUCGGAUCUUCGUUUUCGUUUAACUUUUCGCUCGUUUAUCGGAAUCAGGCGAUUCAAGCGCCUAGAGUUUCGUCUCGAAAUUCUCUUUCUGUUUAACCUACUCAAACAAGUUUUUGCUACUGUAAAAUUUGACCUAGAUCCAGAUUAGUAAACGAAGCUUGUUUCUUUCGCCGUUUGACUUUCGUUGCUUCGUUCGAGUUGAUUCUUUUUGCAAACCGGAGUUCUUAAGUUGAACUUUCUGGUUGGAUCUUUCAUUCGAGUUUUACCUGUGUGCAUUAGAUGAGUACUUAUUGUUUGCUUGUUUGUUUGCGAUAGAGUACCCGGAGUGCGCCGCUUGUUACUUCGAAUCGCUAGGUUUCGCGGAUCAUCAGCAAGGCAAGUAACACUUUGAUCAUACCCUUCCAUACCCAGUUUUUAUUGCAUUAGAUCACUCCUCAAACACUGCAUGGUUAGGAUCUAAUUAAAUUGUGGGUUUUGGGAUGUAGUUGAGGUAGUACCUAUUACCUGUUUUAUUUAUCAAACCCUUGAGAGUUACUUCUACGUUGCUAUUAUAUUGCCAUGCUAUGCUCGUAGAUGUGGAUUGGGUUUGAGAGAUUUACAUGACAGAUGUGAGAUUGUUAAUUAAUGGUUUACUUAAGGUGGCAACUAAAAACUCACAUCUGGGUGGAUUGAGGUACCUGGGUAUUCCAGGAUUGCCUGUUUUUCUUUUGGACCGCCACCCAGGCUCAAAGGGAUCAUAAGGUUAUUCAUGCUAGAAACUUCCGUGUGCAGCCACAAGCUAUUAUGGGCUCUAGCAUAGUUGAUUAAGUUGUGUGAACACUUACAGUGGUAGACUAGCAGAUGUAGGGGAAAGUAGGUGUAACUGUCUACCCAUACGUAAGGUGCAAACACUCCUGAAAGACUGUGUCUCGAUCAUCCGUUACUCAAACACCAUGUAGUGCGAGUAAUCCAACGGAGGAGAUCGAGUCUUGUGGGGAAAAGUGCGCAAACCUCUGCAGAGUGUACAAACUAAUCAUGGUUAGCCGUGUCCCCGGUUAUGGACAACUUGAGUAUCUAGUACUUGGAUUAUCUUGUGAAUCUCAUCACCAUGUUACUUCUAAUUAAUUUUGUUGGGUUAAUGAUGAUUUUUUUAAUUGGGAUUGAGAUGCUGUCAACCAUCUCAAUGUAACAUCCCAAAUUUUCAAUUUGGAAUGUUAUACAUAGAUCAUCAUUUGCAUAUCAUGUUUUGUUGCAUUUUGACAAAUCCUCGAUAAAUCCUAAGCAACUCAAGGACCCUCGGAGAGAGUUGGGGAUUUUCUCGAAUUUUCUUAUUUGAUUUUUCAAACGAGGAUUGGGAUUUUAAUUAUUUUUCUCUCCGGAAAAAUAUUUCGAUUUUAAAUAAACGAGAGGAGAAAAUAUGACUUCCCCAAAAAACAUUGAAAUACUGGAGGAAAAAUGUUAAAAACAUUAUUUGGAAUUUAUUGGAUUUUAUUUGCAUUUUUAUUGCAUUUAAAAAUAUGCAUGUUUUCAAAAUAUUUAUUUUUGAUUUUAAAAAUGUUCACCCUAUUCUAGAUUUUCUAACAAGACGGGGAAAAUGUAUUUCAUAUUUUUCUGAUUUAUAUUUAUUUUUCUACGCAAUAUUUUCCGCGGAACUUAUUUUAAAAAAACGCGCCCGCGCCGGCUGGGCCGAGCCCAACCGACGGCCCGCCCGCGCUCUCCUUCCUCCCCACGACGCCGCCGGAGUCCGGGAGCGCCACGACGCCGCCGCCGCCUCGGUAGCCCCUUCCCCAAGCCGGAGCACCCCCCCUUCGUUUUCGCCAUCACCGCCGCCGGAGGAGCCCGCCGCCGCCGCCGCAUCUAGNNNNNNNNNNNNNNNNNNNNNNNNNNNNNNNNNNNNNNNNNNNNNNNNNNNNNNNNNNNNNNNNNNNNNNNNNNNNNNNNNNNNNNNNNNNNNNNNNNNNNNNNNNNNNNNNNNNNNNNNNNNNNNNNNNNNNNNNNNNNNNNNNNNNNNNNNNNNNNNNNNNNNNNNNNNNNNNNNNNNNNNNNNNNNNNNNNNNNNNNNNNNNNNNNNNNNNNNNNNNNNNNNNNNNNNNNNNNNNNNNNNNNNNNNNNNNNNNNNNNNNNNNNNNNNNNNNNNNNNNNNNNNNNNNNNNNNNNNNNNNNNNNNNNNNNNNNNNNNNNNNNNNNNNNNNNNNNNNNNNNNNNNNNNNNNNNNNNNNNNNNNNNNNNNNNNNNNNNNNNNNNNNNNNNNNNNNNNNNNNNNNNNNNNNNNNNNNNNNNNNNNNNNNNNNNNNNNNNNNNNNNNNNNNNNNNNNNNNNNNNNNNNNNNNNNNNNNNNNNNNNNNNNNNNNNNNNNNNNNNNNNNNNNNNNNNNNNNNNNNNNNNNNNNNNNNNNNNNNNNNNNNNNNNNNNNNNNNNNNNNNNNNNNNNNNNNNNNNNNNNNNNNNNNNNNNNNNNNNNNNNNGUUGACCGGUUUUCUGAAAAAAAAACCUUUUGUUUUAAAAAAAACCCUAGAUCGGUUUUUUUUUCGGUUUUCUUAUUUUACGAGCGUUCACCGAACCGUUCGUUUUAACGAACGCGUUCGUCGGUUUUUCUCUGUUAACGAACGUCCAUUAUUUAACCGUUCGUCCGUUUUUCUUUUUCGUCGGAUUUUCUCGUUAUUUUCUCAGAUUCGAUUUCUGAUCGAAUUUUCGAAUCUGUUUAACUUCUCGCUCGUUUAUCGGAAUCAGGCGAUUCAAGCGCCUAGAGUUUCGUCUCGAAAUUCUCUUUCCGUUUAACCUACUCAAACAAGUUUUUGCUACAGUAAAAAAUGACCUAGAUCCAGAUUAGCAAACGAAGUUUCUUUCUUUCGCCGUUUGACUUUCGUUGUUUCUUUCGAGUUGAUUCUUUUUGCAAACCGGAGUUCUUAAGUUGAACUUUCUGGUUGGAUCUUUCUUUCGAGUUUUACCUGUGCAUUAGAUGAGUACUGAUUGUAUGCUUGUUUGUUUGCGAUAGAGUACCCGGAGUGUGCCGCUUGUUACUUCGACUCGCUAGGUUUUGCGGAUCAUCAGCAAGGCAAGUAACACUUUGAUCAUACCCCGUUCAUACCCAUUUUUAAUGCAUUAGAUCUAUUCCUCACACAUUGCAUGAUUAGGAUCUAAUUAAACUGUGGGUAUUUGGGAAGUAGUUGAGGUAGUACCUAUUACCUGUUCAUAUAUCAAACCCUAGGGAGUUACUUCUACGUUGCUUUUAUUAUUGCCAUGCUAUGCUCGUAGACGUGGAUUGGGUUUGAGUGAAAUUCAUGACAGAUGUGAGUGUUUAAUAAUGGUUCAACUUAAGGUGGCAACUAAAACUCACAUCUGGGUGGAUUGAGGCACCUGGAGAACCCAGUGUUGUCUGUAUGUAUAAGGUCCGCCACCCAGGCUCAAAGGGAUCAUAAGAUUAUUCAUGCUAGAAACUUCCGUGUGCAGCCGCAAGCUAUUAUGGGCUCUAGCAUAGCUGAGUAGGUUACAGGAUCUCUUGAAGAGGUGGACUAGCAGAUGUAGGGGAAGUAGGUGUACCGGUCCAUCCAGAGUAGAGAGUGACUGUUUCUGAAAGACUGUGUCUCGGUCAUCCGUUUCUCAAACAACAUGCAGUGCGAGAAUCAAGCGGAGGCGAUCGAGUCUUGUGGGAAAAGUGCGCAAACCUCUGCAGAGUGUACAAACUGAUCAUGAUUAGCCGUGUCCCCGGUUAUGGACAACUUGAGUAUCUAGUACCUGGAUUAUCAUUUGAAUCUCAUCACCGUGAUACUUAUAAUUAAUUUUGUUGGGUUAAUGAUGUUACUUAAUUGGGAUUGAGUUGGAGGUACCUUCUCAAUGUUUCAACCACCAUGAUAGUUAAAUAAAAUUUAUUCCUUUGUAGUAGGAUAAAAUUGGCUUUUCACAAAAACUGUAACCAUAGAGCCUUUCCACCAGCCAUAUGUGCAUAUAGUAUAGCCUUAUCAUUGUUCAUUGUUCUCUAUGUCUUGCUUUGCCAGCAUAUUCUAUGUGCUGACCCGUUUCGGGCUGCAACGUUUCAUGUUGCAGACUUUUCAGACGACGAGUAAGGAUGCCUUAGGUCGUGGUCUUAUACUCAGUGAUGCCGCUGGAGUUGAUGGACUCACUUAUCUUCCAAGUCUUCCGCUGUUAUCGUUAUAGAUGGCCUUAAGCCAUGUUUAUCAUACUUAAUCUCUUUGGAGAUAUUCGAUGUAAUAAGUGUGUGAUUGCUACUCUGUUAUAAAUCCUCCAUUUGUACUGUGCGUGUCAGCAUUACUGAUCCAGGGAUGACACUGGUGCACAGCAGCACAGGCCAUUUGAGGUCUGGUCGCUACAAAGUUGGUAUCAGAGCACAUGCUGACUAUAGGAAACGACCACUAAGCUUAAGCCCUAGAAACUUCUCUCUUCUCAUUUCUGACUCCUCUCCACUUUCUACUCUUUUAGGAAUGGCGAAUGCAAGGAACAAGUUAAUGCAACCCGAUGAAGAUACGCCGUUUGGAUGACACUUGAAGGAAGUCACCAAGUACUUGAACAUAGGAAUACCAAGCGUCACCGGAACCUACAACGCUACCUUACCUGAAGAGGAGAGCUGGAAGAUUCAAGUUAUCAUUCCAGGAAGGACGUUUGCGCCAAUUACGGAACCCAUGAGAUUGGUUUUCGAAGCACCAACUUGGAGUUUAGGGAAGAGCAUGGCCGCACAUAUCGCCAUGGGACGCAUUGGAGAAGUCUAUCACCAGGAGCUUAAGGAUACAAUUUAUCAAAUUUGUGGACGUCGAGACGCGCAAUGGGAGAUGAUCAAGACCAAGAAGGAUGGAUCAAUUGCAGCUUUCAUCCAGGAGCAGAACCAACAUAUUCGACGCCAGGAGAACCAGAUGUGCACGGACAAGGAAGAACUGAAGAAGGCAUUCACGAAGAUCAAGGAGCUCCAAGAAGAACUCAAGGCUACACGCGAAGAUUAUUUGGAGGAAAUCAACGCACUAGUAGGGAAGAUUGAAGACCUGGAGAAUAAGAUUGGAGCAUUCGUGGGAAAUCCAGUGCCAAAAGCAGAAGUCGACGAAUGCACUUGUCCGGAUAACUACAUCAUCAUCGACGACACCGACUCGGAACCAAGUGAAGACGAAUGGAUUGAUGAAGCUGGAGCAGACAUCAUGGAGUCUUCAACGGAUCAGAAUUUUUAGUAGACUACCAUAUCAGUAGUAGUUUUUUCCCCAUUUAGUAGUAUAGCUCAAGCACUUUGUAACGCUAGAUAGAUUGAUUGUUUUGCCUUGUUUGGAUUGAUUGAGUGAUAUUGAUUGAAUUUGUCUCAUGAGCAUAUGGGUAGUGUUUCUCUCUAGACCUCAUUCUACUCUUAAAUCUCAUCUUUUCUAAAACCUAUCAGAUGCCUCCGAGACGCGACACCGGAUUUGUUUUUCCACCAGAGAUCACCCAGUUGAUUCAGCAACAGAAUGCCUUGAUGCAAGUGUUAGUUCAGAACCAAGGCAACAACAACAACAACCCACCGCCACCACCACCUGUUGAUCACUUAGCCCGUUUCUUAAGGCUAAACCCGCCGGUGUUUUCCAGUAGCACCGAGCCGAUAGUAGCAGAUGAUUGGCUCCGCAAAGUUGGAAGGGAGUUAACCACUGCAGGAUGCACAGAUGCGGAAAGAGUGCGUUUUGCCGCACAUCAGCUUGAUGGACCCGCAGCAUCAUGGUGGGAGAAUUAUACAGCCACGCACCCUAUUGACACUGUCACAUGGGACCAGUUUCAGCAAGCUUUUCGUACAGCUCAUGUUUCAGCAGGAGCUAUGGCUAUGAAGAAGCGUGAGUUUCGCAACCUACGCCAAGGAGGACGCACCGUAGGCCAGUAUGUGGAAGAUUUCAGUAAAUUAGCACGUUAUGCACCAGAUGACGUUGCUACGGAUGCUGCCAAGCAGGAGAAAUUUCUGGAAGGAUUGAAUGAUGAGCUGAGUAUGCAGUUGAUGGUAGCAACUUUCAACAACUACUAGGAGCUGGUAGAUAGAGCUCUCAUGAUUGAAGGGAAGCAACAGCAGAUUGAAAACCGCAAGAGGAAGUAUGGACAAGGGAAGUACAAUUCUGGAGCCCAGCAGAAGCCACGAUUUACCCCGAAGCCGGGAGGACAGUUUCAGCAUACCCAUGGAGGAGGUAGUUUGCACAACCAUAAUGGCUCCAAGAAUGGUAAUGGGAAUGGAGGAGGAAACGGACAGAACCGCACCAACCCAUCUACCCCAACCAAGAGAGAUCUAAGUCACAUUACUUGUUUCAAGUGCCAGAAGACGGGACAUUAUGCAACUGAUUGUCCCGAAGCCCAAAAUGGAAAUGGCAAUGGAAGCUCUGGGAAGAAGCCGAACCCGUUCAACAAAGGACAUGUGAACCACGUGAGCGUGGAGGAGAUUGAAGCUCAGCCUGAUGCAGUAAUAGGUAAGUUUUUGGUUAAGUCAUUUACUGCAACGGUUCUUUUCGAUACUGGUGCAUCGCAUUCAUACAUAUCAAGGGGAUUCGUAAACAAGUUUAAGAUGUCCACCCAAGUUCUCAAAACCCCUAUGUUAGUAACCUCGCCAGGAGCAGAGUAUAUGGCCACCCAAGGAUGUUUUCAGAUACCGUUGGCCAUUGGAAGGCAUGUUUUCCCCUCAGACCUCAUUGUUUUAGAAUCACAAGGUUUGGAUGUGAUUUUGGGAAUGGAUUGGCUAUCGUUGUAUGGAGGAAACAUCGAUUUUGCCAGCAAGACUAUUUUGCUUACCACCCCGGAAGGAAAAAGGAUCAAGUAUGAAUCCAGGCAUAUGCCGAAGAGGACUCAAGUGAAUUCCUUAUCAGGAGUUGUACAGGAGGAAGUACCAGUGGUGAAGGAUUACCCGGAUGUAUUUCCAGAAGAGUUGCCAGGCAUGCCACCAGAUAGAGACAUUGAGUUUUUGAUUGAACUUUUGCCAAGCACAGGGCCAAUAUCUAAGAGACCGUACAGGAUGCCCGCAAAGGAUUUGGAGGAAAUUAAGAAGCAGAUCAAGGAGUUACUGGAUAAAGGCUAUAUUCGCCCAAGUUCGUCACCUUGGGGAUCACCAGUACUUCUAGUGGAGAAGAAAGAUGGAUCACUAAGGAUGGUUGUUGACCGAGGAUUGAAUGAAGUGACCAUCAAAAACAAGUACCCACUGCCGAUGAUCAAUGAUUUGUUUGACCGCCUGCAAGGAGCUAAAGUAUUUUCCAAGAUCGAUCUACGAUCAGGGUACCAUCAGUUAAAGAUUCGAGAGCAGGAUAUACCCAAGACGGCAUUUACCACCAGAUAUGGAUUGUAUGAGUAUACCGUUAUGUCAUUUGGACUGACUAACGCACCGGCCUAUUUCAUGAACCUGAUGAACAAAGUGUUUAUGGAGUUUUUGGAUAAGUUCGUCGUUGUGUUCAUUGAUGAUAUUUUAAUCUUUUCCAAGGAUGAAGAAGAGCAUGAGGAGCAUUUACGAUUGGUACUUGAGAAGCUCAGGGAACAUCAGUUAUAUGCCAAGUUCAGCAAAUGUGAGUUUUGGUUGAAGGAAGUUGGAUUCCUUGGACAUGCUAUUUCUGGAGAAGGAAUAGCAGUAGACCCUGCCAAGGUUGACACGGUGACAAGUUGGGAAUCACCCACUACAGUUGGAGAAAUCCGGAGUUUUCUUGGACUCGCAGGAUACUACCGGAGAUUUAUCGAGAAUUUCUCAAGGAUUGCUAAGCCCAUGACUGAGCUAUUGAAGAAGGACACCAAAUUUAAUUGGACUGAGGAAUGUGAAGCUAGUUUCCAGGAGUUGAAGCAACGAUUGGUUACCUCACCCGUGUUGAUUCUGCCAGAUCAACGCAAGGACUAUGAAGUAUAUUGCGACGCUUCUCGUCGAGGACUUGGAGCAGUGCUUAUGCAGGAAGGAAGAGUUGUUUCGUAUGCUUCACGACAACUUAAACCCCAUGAGAAGAAUUAUGCUACGCACGAUUUGGAAUUAGCAGCCGUGGUGCAUGCAUUGAAAACAUGGAGACAUUUUCUCAUCGGAAACCAUUGUGAGGUGUACACGGAUCACAAGAGUUUGAAGUACAUUUUCACGCAGAAGGAGUUAAACCUCAGACAGAGGAGAUGGUUGGAGCUCAUCAAAUAUUAUGAUAUGAGAUUGCAUUAUCACCCUGGAAAGGCUAACGUAGUAGCAGACGCGUUGAGCCGCAAGAGUCAUGUCAACACCCUCAUGACAGGAGAGUUACCUCAGAAGUUAGCCGAGGACCUACGUGAGCUAUGUUUGGAGAUAGUCCCAAGGGGCUAUUUAGCGAUGUUGGCGUUUCAGUCUACCUUGAUGGAGAUGAUCAGAGAAGCUCAGAAGACAGACAAGGAGAUUAAAGAGAUAAAGGAGAAGAUGAGCAAAGGAAAAGCCAAGGGAUUUCGUGAGGAUGAGCACGAUACCUUAUGGUUCGAGGACCGCGUAUAUGUGCCAAAUGAUCCGGAGAUCAGGAAGUUGAUUUUGCAAGAAGCCCAUGAUUCACCGUACUCGAUUCACCCAGGGAAUACCAAGAUGUAUUUGGAUUUGAAGAAUACUUUCUGGUGGACCGGAAUGAAGAAGGAUAUUGCGGAGUAUGUAGCAGUUUGUGAUGUGUGUCAGAGAGUGAAGGCAGAGCAUCAAAAGCCAGCAGGAUUGCUACAACCAUUGCCGAUACCCGAAUGGAAGUGGGAUAAAAUAGGCAUGGAUUUUAUCACAGGAUUACCCAGGACCUGUUCAGGCUAUGACUCGAUAUGGGUUGUAGUCGACCGUUUGACGAAAGUGGCUCAUUUCAUUCCAGUGAAGACCACUUACAGCAGUGCUAAGUUGGCUAAGAUAUACAUGACCAGGAUAGUAUGUUUGCAUGGAGUUCCGAGGACCAUUGUAUCAGACAGAGGAACCCAAUUUACCUCGAAGUUUUGGAAGCAGUUACAUGAAACAUUGGGAACCAGGCUGGAAUUUAGUACAGCAUUUCACCCACAGACAGAUGGACAGACCGAGAGAGUCAACCAGAUUCUGGAGGACAUGUUGAGAGCAUGUGCACUAGAUUAUGGAUCUAGUUGGGACGACAAUUUGCCAUAUGCAGAGUUUUCAUAUAACAACAGUUAUCAAACCAGUUUGAAGAUGGCCCCUUUCGAAGCCUUGUACGGAAGGAGGUGUAGAACACCGUUGUUGUGGGACGAAGUUGGAGACCGUCAGUUGUUUGGACCAGAUUUGAUUAAGGAGUCUGAACAGAAAGUGAAGUUGAUUCGCGAUAGGCUCAAGGUAGCCCAGUCCAGGCAGAAGAGUUAUGCUGAUUCUAAACGCAAGGAGAUAGUUCACGAAAUCGGAGACAGGGUGUAUCUUCGAGUAUCACCACUACGAGGAGUAAAGCGCUUUGGAGUUAAGGGACAGUUAGCGCCUCGUUUUAUCGGACCAUACAGAGUGUUGGAACGUAUGGGAGAAGUUGCCUACAAGCUGGAAUUGCCCGAAGGAUUGUCUGAAGUACAUGAUGUAUUUCACGUUUCGCAAUUGAAGAAGUGCCACGCAGAGAUGGCUGAGAUACCACUAAGAGAUACUGUGCCACUGGAAGCGAUUCAGUUGGAAAGUGAUUUGACCUAUGAGGAGAAGCCAGUUAAGAUUCUCGAGUAUGCCAGCCGAGUUAACCGCAGCAAGGUUAUCAAGUUUUGCAAAGUUCAGUGGAGUCACCACACAGAAGAUGAGGCCACCUGGGAGCGAGAGGAAGAUCUACGGAAAAACCACUCCCACCUGUUUUCUAGCCAACCCGAAUCUCGAGGGCGAGAUUCAUCUUAAGGGGGGUAGGUUUCUAACAUCCCAAAUUUUCAAUUUGGAAUGUUAUACAUAGAUCAUCAUUUGCAUAUCAUGUUUUGUUGCAUUUUUACAAAUCCUCGAUAAAUCCUAAGCAACUCAAGGACCCUCGGAGAGAGUUGGGGAUUUUGUCGAAUUUUCUUAUUUGAUUUUUCAAACGAGGAUUGGGAUUUUAAUUAUUUUUCUCUCCGGAAAAAUGUUUCAAUUUUAAAUAAACGAGAGGAGAAAAUAUGACUUCCCCAAAAAACAUUGAAAUACUGGAGGAAAAAUGUUAAAAACAUUAUUUGGAAUUUAUUGGAUUUUAUUUGCAUUUUUAUUGCAUUUAAAAAUAUGCAUGUUUUCAAAAUAUUUAUUUUUGAUUUUAAAAAUGUUCACCCUAUUCUAGAUUUUCUAACUAGACGGGGAAAAUUUAUUUCAUAUUUUUCUGAUUUAUAUUUAUUUUUCUACGUAAUAUUUUCCGCGGAACUUAUUUAAAAAAAAUGCGCCCGCGCCGGCUGGGCCGAGCCCAACCGACGGCCCGCCCGCGCUCUCCUUCCUCCCCACGACGCCGCCGGAGUCUGGGAGCGCCACGACGCCGCCGCCGCCUCGGUAGCCCCUUCCCCAAGCCGGAGCACCCCCCCCCUCCGUUUUCGCCAUCACCGCCGCCGGAGGAGCCUGCCGCCGCCGCCGCAUCUAGCCGCCNNNNNNNNNNNNNNNNNNNNNNNNNNNNNNNNNNNNNNNNNNNNNNNNNNNNNNNNNNNNNNNNNNNNNNNNNNNNNNNNNNNNNNNNNNNNNNNNNNNNNNNNNNNNNNNNNNNNNNNNNNNNNNNNNNNNNNNNNNNNNNNNNNNNNNNNNNNNNNNNNNNNNNNNNNNNNNNCCCGCCCGCCGGAGCCCCGCCACGAGGUACUGCCGCCGGCCGUCUUCAACGUUGACCGGUUUUCUGAAGAAAAAAACCUUUUGUUUUUUAAAAAAAAAACCCUAGAUCGGUUUUUUUUCGGUUUUCUUAUUUUACGAGCGUUCACCGAACCGUUCGUUUUAACGAACGCGUUCGUCGGUUUUUCUCUGUUAACGAACGUCCGUUAUUUAACCGUUCGUCUGUUUUUCUUUUUCGUCGGAUUUUCUCGUUAUUUUCUCAGAUUCGAUUUCUGAUCGAAUUUUCGAAUCUGUUUAACUUCUCGCUCGUUUAUCGGAAUCAGGCGAUUCAAGCGCCUAGAGUUUCGUCUCGAAAUUCUCUUUCCGUUUAACCUACUCAAACAAGUUUUUGCUAUAGUAAAAAUUGACCUAGAUCCAGAUUAGCAAACGAAGUUUCUUUCUUUCGCCGUUUGACUUUCGUUGUUUCUUUCGAGUUGAUUCUUUUUGCAAACCGGAGUUCUUAAGUUGAACUUUCUGGUUGGAUCUUUCUUUCGAGUUUUACCUGUGCAUUAGAUGAGUACUGAUUGUAUGCUUGUUUGUUUGCGAUAGAGUACCCGGAGUGUGCCGCUUGUUACUUCGACUCGCUAGGUUUUGCGGAUCAUCAGCAAGGCAAGUAACACUUUGAUCAUACCCCGUCCAUACCCAGUUUUAAUGCAUUAGAUCUAUUCCUCACACAUUGCAUGAUUAGGAUCUAAUUAAACUGUGGGUAUUUGGGAAGUAGUUGAGGUAGUACCUAUUACUUGUUCAUAUAUCAAACCCUCGGGAGUUACUUCUACGUUGCUUUUAUUAUUGCCAUGCUAUGCUCGUAGACGUGGAUUGGGUUUGAGUGAAAUUCAUGAUAGAUGUGAGUGUUUAAUAAUGGUUCAACUUAAGGUGGCAACUAAAACUCACAUCUGGGUGGAUUGAGGCACCUGGAGAACCCAGUGUUGUCUGUAUGUAUAAGGUCCGCCACCCAGGCUCAAAGGGAUCAUAAGAUUAUUCAUGCUAGAAACUUCCGUGUGCAGCCGCAAGCUAUUAUGGGCUCUAGCAUAGCUGAGUAGGUUACAGGAUCUCUUGAAGAGGUGGACUAGCAGAUGUAGGGGAAGUAGGUGUACCGGUCCAUCCAGAGUAGAGAGUGACUGUUUCUGAAAGACUGUGUCUCGGUCAUCCGUUUCUCAAACAACAUGCAGUGCGAGAAUCAAGCGGAGGCGAUCGAGUCUUGUGGGAAAAGUGCGCAAACCUCUGCAGAGUGUACAAACUGAUCAUGAUUAGCCGUGUCCCCGGUUAUGGACAACUUGAGUAUCUAGUACCUGGAUUAUCAUUUGAAUCUCAUCACCGUGAUACUUAUAAUUAAUUUUGUUGGGUUAAUGAUGUUACUUAAUUGGGAUUGAGUUGGAGGUACCUUCUCAAUGUUUCAACCACCAUGAUAGUUAAAUAAAAUUUAUUCCUUUGUAGUAGGAUAAAAUUGGCUUUUCGCAAAAACUGUAACCAUAGAGCCUUUCCACCAGCCAUAUGUGCAUAUAGUAUAGCCUUAUCAUUGUUCAUUGUUCUCUAUGUCUUGCUUUGCCAGCAUAUUCUAUGUGCUGACCCGUUUCGGGCUGCAACGUUUCAUGUUGCAGACUUUUCAGACGACGAGUAAGGAUGCCUUAGGUCGUGGUCUUAUACUCAGUGAUGCCGCUGGAGUUGAUGGACUCACUUAUCUUCCAAGUCUUCCGCUGUUAUCGUUAUAGAUGGCCUUAAGCCAUGUUUAUCAUACUUAAUCUCUUUGGAGAUAUUCGACGUAAUAAGUGUGUGAUUGCUACUCUGUUAUAAAUCCUCCAUUUGUACUGUGCGUGUCAGCAUUACUGAUCCAGGGAUGACACUGGUGCACAGCAGCACAGGCCAUUUGAGGUCUGGUCGCUACACUCAAUGUUCAACAACCACCAUGAUAGUUAAAUAAAAUGUAUUCCUUUGCAGUAGGGAAAAAUUGGCUUUUCGCAAAAACUUUAACCAUAGAGCUUUCCACCAGCCAUAUAUGCAUGUAGUAUAGCAUUAUCAUGUUCAUUAUUCUCUAUGUGUUAUUUUGCCAGCAUAUUCCAUGUGCUGACCCGUUUUCGGGCUGCAACGUUUCAUGUUGCAGACUUUUCAGACGACGAGUAAAGGUGCUUUAGGUCGUGGUCUUAUACUCAGUGAUGCCGUUGGAGUUGAUGGACUCACUUAUCUUCCAAGUCUUCCGCUGUUAUCGUUUUUAGAUGGCCAUUAAGCCAUAUUUAUCAUACUUAUUCUCUUUGGAGAUAUUUGAUGUAAUAAGUGUGUGAUUGCUACUCUGUUAUAAAUCCUCCAAUUGUACUGUGCGUGUCAGCAUUACUGAUCCAGGGAUGACACUGGUGCACAGCAGCACAGACCAUUUGAGGUCUGGUCGCUACAUUUUUUAGGUACUCCAUCUUUGAAACUAUAAUUAGCAAGCAUAGUGAAGAUUUCAGCUUCCGGUAUUUUUCUCUUAUUAGUGAUGAUGUCUUUCAUAUAAUUUGCAUAAGGAGGCAUUUUCAAGAUAUCAGUCAAACGAGUACGCAAAAAGACUGGCCUUAGCAUUUCAGCAAAGCGUUCAAAUUCUACAUCAUCUUUCUUUUUAGUUGACUUGGGUGGAAAAGGCAUAGGUUUUUGAACCCACGGUUCUCUUUCUUUACCACGUUUUCUAGCAAUGAAGUCUCUUUUAUCAUACCUUUUAUUCUUAGGUUGUGGGUUAUCAAGAUCAACAGGUGGUUCUAUCUCAACAUUAUUAUCUGGUUCUUUUUCAUUAUUUGGUUGAGUGUCUUCAUGAACUUCAUCAUUAUCUUUUUCAUUAUCACUAGGUGAGUGUUCAUUACCACAUUGAGUUCAGCAUUUGAGAUAGAAGUUUCAUUAUCAUUAUCAGGAGGUUUCUCUAUUUCAGGUUCACUAGAAGUAUGCAAAGUCCUAUCAUUUUUCUUUUUAUUUUUCUUUCUAGAAGGACUAGGUGCACUAGUGUUAUUUCUUUGUGGGUCUUGUUCAAUUCUUUUUUGGGUGUCCCUCAGGAUAAAGUGGUUCCUGAGUCAUUUUACCUCCUCUAGUUGCAACUCUAACAGCAAAGUCAUGUAUAUUAUGAUUCAUUUCAUCAAGCAAUUCUCUUUGAGAUUUAGCAACUUGUUCUAACUGAGUUUGAACCAUAGAAGCAUGCUUUCCAACACCUCUAACAUCAUUUGAGAUUCUAAAUAACAAGUCACUCAAGCGAGCUAUCAUAUCAAAAUUAUAUUUCAAUUGUUUCAUAACAUUUGCAUUGAAGUGAUCUUGUUUUCUAAUAUAGUUUUCAAACUCAUAAAGGCAUUGACUAGGAUGCAUAUUGUGAGGAUUAUCAUUAUCAUUGAACUUCAUUAGAGAAUUUACCUCUAUCACCUUAGGCAGCGGUGGUGUAUUAAGCCCAUGUAUUUCUUCAAUAGGAGGUAAAUUUUUAACAUCCUCAGCUUUAAUACCUUUUUCCUUCAUAGAUCUCUUUGCCUCUUGCAUAUAUUCAGGACUGAGAUAUAAUAUACCCCUCUUCUUCGGAGUGGGUUUAGGCGGUGGUUCAGGAAGAGUCCAAUCAUCAUAAUUUUUCAAUAUAUUAUUCAAUAAUUCUUCAGCUUGUCCAACAGUUCGUUUCGUGAAAACACAACCAGCACAACUAUCUAGGAAGUCUCUAUAAGCAUCGGUUAGUCCAUUAUAGAAGAUAUCAAGUAUUUCAUUUUUCUUAAAAGGAUGAUCAGGCAAAGCAUUAAGUAACUGGCAAAGCCUCCCCCAAGCUUGUGGGAGACUCUCUUCUUUAGUUUGCACAAAGUUAAAUAUUUCCUGCAAGGCAGCUUGUUUCUUAUGAGUAGGGAAAUAUUUUUCAAAGAAGUAAUAAAUCAUAUCCUGGGGACUACGCACACAACCAGGAGUAAGAGUAUUGUACCAAGCUUUAGAAUCACCCUUUAAUGAGAACGGGAAUAAUUUGAGAAUAAAGUAAUAGCGAGUCUUCUCAUCAUGAGUAAAAAGGGUGGCUAUGUCAUUCAACUUAGUAAGAUGUGUCACAACAGUUUCAGUUCAUAACCAUGGAAAGGAUCAGAUUCAACCAGAGUAAUUAACUCUGGGUCGACAGAGAAUUCAUAAUCCUUAUCAUCAAUAAAGAUAUGUGAAGUAGCAAACUUAGGAUCAUAUUUCAUUCUAGCAUUCAGAGAUUUUUCUUUAUACUUGCAUAAUAAUUUCUCUAGAUCAUCUCUAUCCCUACAAGCAAGAAUAUCUCUAGUUGUCUCCUCAUUCAUAACAUAACCUUUCGGUACCUUAGGCAAUUCAUAUCUAGGAAGGCUAGUUCUAGCAGGUGUUUCAGGAGAUUCAGUUUCAAGCUCAUCAUCAGAUUCAACAACAUCAUGUUGUAUUACUCUAGCAAUUUGUGCAUCAAGAAAAUCACCAAGUGGCACAUCAUCAUUAUCAAGCAAGGUACUAGCAUCAUCAUAAGCAUUAUCCAAAGCAGAAGUAGCAUCAUCAAUAACUUGCGACAUAUCAGAAUUAAUAGCAUGUGGUGGUGUUGCAAGUUUACUUAUAACAGAAGGUGAAUCUAAAGCAGAACUGGAUGGCAGUUCCUUACCUCCCCUCGUCUUUGAGGGAAAUAUCUUAGUCUUAGCGUCCUUCAGAUUCUUCAUAGUGAUAAUAUGAUAAUAAUCCCAAGUGACUCAACAAAUAUAGCUAUGCUCCCCGGCAAUGGCGCCAGAAAAAGGUCUUGAUAACUGACAAGUAUAGGGGAUCGCAAUAGUUUUUGAGGGUAGAGUAUUCAACCCAAAUUUAUAGAUUCGACACAAGGGGAGCCAAAGAAUAUUUGAAGGUAUUAGCAGCUGAGUUGUCAAUUCAAACACACCUGGAGAUUAAUUAUGUGCAGCAAAGUAAUCAGUAGCAAAGUAGUAUGAUAGUUUUGAUAAUAGUGACAGCAGCAACGGUAACGGUAACAGUGAUAGCACUAAUUUUGUAGCAAGUGUAACAGUGAUGACAGCAGUAGUAACUUAGCAGAACAAUAUAGGAAAAAAUUCGUAGUCAUCGGAUCCAUGACUUGUUGGAUGAUAUUCAUCAUGUGACAGUUAUAACCUAGGUCGAUACGGCACUAGCUCCAGUUCAUCGAUAUUGUAACGCCCACGAUGCGGCUAUAUCUCUCACGUGUUGAGGCACGACUUAGAGGCAUAACCGCUUUGUAGGUUUUGUCGCAAGAAGGGUCAUCUUCAAACAAUCCCAUGUAAUGAACAAGAAAGGGAUAAAGAUUUGGCUUACAAUCGCCACUUCACACAAUACAUUAAUUAAACAUACAUCAACCAGAGUACACACAUAGGUCCGACUACGGAACCAAAAGAAAAGAAGACAACCACAAAUGCCAGAUCCCUGAUCGUCCCAACUGGGCACCACUACUGAUCAACAUGAGAAGAAACAUAGUAACGACCAAGGUCCUCAUCGAGCUCCCACUUGAGCUCGGUUGCGUCACCUGCCCUGGUAUCAACGGCACCUGCAACUGUUUUGGUAGAAUCUGUGAGUCACGAGGACUCAGCAAUCUCACACCCGCGAGAUCAAGACUAUUUAAGCUUAUGGGUAGGAGAAGGUAGUGAGGUGGAGCUGCAGCAAGCACUAAGCAUAUAUGGUGGCUAACAUACGCAAAUAAGAGCGAGAAGAGGAGCAACGGAACGGUCGUCAACUAGUAAUGAUCAAGAAGUGAUCCUGAACUCCUACUUACGUCAAACAUAACCCAAAAGCCGUGUUCUCUUCCCGGACUCCGCCGAAAAGAGACCAUCACGGCUACACACGCGGUUGAUGCGUUUUAAUUAAGUCGAGUGUCAAGUUCUCUACAACCAGACAUUAACAAAUUCCCAUCUGCCACAUAACCGCGGGCACGGCUCUCGAAAGUUUAUACCCUGUAGGGGUGUCCCAACUUAGCCCAUUAUAAGCUCUCACGGUCAACGAAGGAUAUUCCUUCUCCCGGGAAGACCCGAUCAGUCUCGGAAUCCCGGUUUACAAGACAUUUCGAUAAUGGUAAAACAAGACCAGCAAAGCCGCCCGAUGUGCCGACAAAUCCCGAUAGGAGCUGCACAUAUCUCGUUCUCAGGGCACACCGGGUGAGCAAGACGUCGGGUUGGCAUAGACCCUGGUUGCCCAGGGGGCGCCGGACAUUGCUCGGUUUGGACCAGCACUCGAAGGAGCACUGGCCCGGGGGGUAAAUAAAGAUGACCCUUGAGUCUGCAGAACCCAAGGGAAAAAGGCUUAGGUAGGCAAAUGGUAAAACCAAGGUUGGGCCUUGCUGGAGGAGUUUUAUUCAAAGCGAACUAUCAAGGGGGUCCCAUAAAUCACCAAACUACGUAAGGAACGCAAAAUCAAGGAACAUAACACCGGUAUGACGGAAACUAGGGCGGCAAGAGUGGAACAAAACACCAGGCAUAAGGCCGAGCCUUCCACCCUUUACCAAGUAUAUAGAUGCAUUAAUUAAGAUAAGAGAUAUUGUGAUAUCCCAACAUAUCCAUGUUCCAACAUGGAACAAACUUCAUCUUCACCUGCAACUAACAACGCUAUAAGAGGGGCUGAGCAAAAGCGGUAACAUAGCCAAACAACGGUUUGCUGGGAAAGGUGGGUUAGAGGCUUGACAUGGCAAUAUGGGAGGCAUGAUAUAGCAAGUGGUAGGUAGCGCGGCAUAGCAAUAGAGCGAACAACUAGCAAGCAAAGAUAGAAGUGAUUUCGAGGGUAUGGUCAUCUUGCCUGAGAUCCCGCAAGGAAGAAGAACGAGUCCAUGAAGAAGACAAACGGAUGUAGUCGAACGAAUCCUCACAACUCCGGAACAAAACCGAAGCUAACGAGAGAAGCAACCCGGAAAGAAAUAAACAACAUAGUAAACAACCACCACAUACACAUGGCAUGAUGCACAAACAAGUAUGAUGCAUGUCCGGUUUAAUGAGGCAUGGCAUGGCAAAGUGCACAAACAAUACUACAAAUUAAGUGGAGCUCAAUAUGUAACAAGUUGCAUAUUGACGAAACACCACAUUGAAGUUAUUUAGUUUGCUCUCAUUUAUGUACCCAACAAUGUUAAAUAUUGAUUAACAUGGCAAGAGGUGAAGCAUAAGUAAACUAACUAUUUAGGCAAGUUUAAAUGAGGCCGGAACAACAAAUAACAAUUCCGGAAAAUCCUCAUAUGCAUAUUUUGGAAUUGGUACUGUUCUGUCCUAAAGCAUACUUUAGAAUUGUUAACAUGCAAAACAAAGUGCACCAUGUUAAACUAGGCAUUUUUCUACCCCAUUUACAUAUAAAGUUUAUUUAAUUUAGAGCUACGAUUAUUUAGUUAUGAAAUAAAUCAUUUUAACAUGGCAUUUAGCAAAUUAAAUGCAAGCGGCAUUUUAAACAUUUUAAACAAGGAUGCAAGCAGCGUAUUAUGAAACUAGAUGAAAUUCUAAGCAUUUUACAUAUAUAAUUCAUUUUAAUCCGAUGCACGGUUGUGGAGUUAUUAAAUGCAUGAACAUUAAGGGGUUUUCUGAAAAACUGCAGUCUCUGAAAAAUUAGCAAAUUCGCAGGUCAGGGAAAAAAAUGCUAUCGGGCUGAAACUGGAGCUACAGGAACUGGGCGGCUCACCAGGCCUCAUGGGCCGGUUGAUGAAGGAGGCCCGACAAGGGGGCGCAGCUGGGCUUGGUGCGAUCUCGCGCUAGGCCGCCCGGUCGCUGGCGCUCCAGACGAACAGGGACGCGGUCAACGGUGAUGCGGUCCUCGCUCGGGCACAGGCGUGCGCUCGAGGCAGGGUCGUCCUCCUCCUGCUCGAUGCAGAAGUAGAGGAAGAAGGCGCUGGCGGCCGGCUCCGGGACUCCGGGACGGCGCGGCGGCGGAUCUGGGCGAUGCAGUCAACGGCGCGGAACUUGGCCAGGCGGAGGGCGAGGUUGAGCUCGGGGACGAGCCCCUGCCGCUCGGGGAGGCGCGAAGCAGAGGAGGCUAGAAGCGGGGCGCUCACGAGCAAGGGGCACGGAGCUCCGGUGCAAAAUCCAUGGUGGCUGGCGCGUCCUGUGCUCCCUGAGAGAGAAACGAGGGGAGAGAAAGAGGGUUACAGGAGAGACGAGGGAAGGAGGGAACGGAAGGAGAAGGAGACGGGAGGUUGGCCUGAAAACAACGUCCGUCCGGGGUUAGUUUCAUUCAAAUCAUGAAAAUUAGAGUGAGGAAAAGCGUUAGGAAAAGUAGAUACGUUGGAGACGUAUUAGGAUCUCACGCGUACAAAAGGUUGCGGCGGUGGAAAAGUGUUUUCGUGGCUCUCCUGAUUUGUUUUGGAAUAUUUGAGAAUAUAUAGGCGAAAGAAAUAGGUCGGUGGAGUCACGAGGGUCCCACAAGGGUGGGGGCGCGCCCUACCCCCUGGGCGCGCCCUCCGUCCUUGUGGAUGCCUCGUGGCUUCCCUGACGUGCACUCCAAGUCCUCUGGAUGUCUUCUGGUCCAAGAAAAAUCAUCGCGAAGGUUUCAUUCCGUUUGGACUCCGUCUGGUAUUCCUUCUCUGCGAAACUCUAAAACAAGGAAAAAAUAGAAACUGGCACUGAGCUCUAGGUUAAUAGGUUAGUCCCAAAAAUAAUAUAAAAUAGCAUAUUAGUUCAUAUAAAACAUCCGAAACAUAUAAUAUAAUAGCAUGGAACAAUCAAAAAUUAUAGAUACGUUGGAGACGUAUCAGUAUGUAUUAUUUUCAAUAAGUCAUUAGUUCGCUCCAUUGUUCCGGAGAACAGAGUUUUAGUCAUCUUUCCCAUGAGGCAUGGUUCGCAAGUAUCAAAUGAUUCAUAAUCAAGUGAUUCCAAAAGUCCAUCUGUAUGGAGUUUCUUCAUGGGUUUUACACUAAUAUGACCUAAACGACAGUGCCACAAGUAUGUUGCACUAUCAUUAUCAACUUUGCAUCUUUUGGCAUCAAUAUUAUGAAUAUGUGUAUCACUACGAUUGAGAUUCAAUAAACCAUUUACAUUGGGUGUAUGACCAUAGAAGGUUUUAUUCAUGUAAACAGAACAACAAUGAUUCUCUGACUUAAAUGAAUAACUGUAUUGCAGUAAACAUGAUCAAAUCAUAUUCAUGGUCAACGCAAACACCAAAUAACAUUUAUUUAGGUUCAACACUAAUCCCGAAGAUAGAGGGAGUGUGCGAUGGUGAUUGUAUCAACCUUGGAAUCACUUCCAACACACAUCGUCACCUCGCCCUUAACUAGUCUCUGUUUAUUUUGCAACUCCUGUUUUUGAGUUACUAAUCUUAGCAACUGAACCGGUAUCAAAUACCCAGGGGUUGCUAUGAACACUAGUAAAGUACACAUCAAUAACAUGUAUAUCAAAUAUACCUUUGUUCACUUUGCCAUCCUUAUCCGCCAAGUAUUUGUGGCAGUUCCGCUUCCAGUGACCAUUUCCUUUGCAGCAGAGGCACUCAGUUUCAGGGUUGGGUCCAGCUUUGGGCUUCUUCAUGGGAGCGGUAGCUUGCUUGACAUUCUUCUUGAAGUUCCCUUUCUUUCCCUUGCCCUUUUUCUUGAAACUAGUGGUCUUGUUAAUCAUCAACACUUGAUGCUCUUUCUUGAUUUCUACCUUCGCUGAUUUCAGCAUCGCGAAGAGCUCGGGAAUCAUUUUGGUCAUCCCUUGCAUAUUAUAGUUCAUCACAAAGUUCUAUUAGCUUGGUGAUAGUGACUAGAGAAUUUUGUCAAUCACUAUCUUAUCUAGAAGAUUAACUCCCACUUGAUUCAAGUGAUUGUAGUACCCAGACAUUCUGAGCACAUGCUCACUGGUUGAGCUAUUCUCCUCCAUCUUGUAGGCAAAGUACUUGUCAUAGGUCUCAUACCUCCUGACACGGGCAUGAGUCUGAAAUACUAAUUUCAGCUCUUGGAACAUCUCAUAUGCUCUGUGGCGUUCAAAAGGUUUUGAAGUCCUGGUUUUAAGCCAUAAAGCAUGGCGCACUAAACUAUUAAGUAGUCAUCAAAUCGGGCUUGCCAAACGUUCAUAACGUCUGCAUCUGCUCCUGCAAUAGGUCUGUCACCUAGCGGUGCAUCAAGAACAUAAUUCUUCUGUGCAGCAAUGAGGAUAAUCCUCAGAUCACAGACCCAGUCCGCAUUAUUGCUACUAUCAUCUUUCAACUUAGUUUUCUCUAGGAACAUAUCAAAAAUAUAGGGGAGCUAUAUCGCGAGCUAUUGAUCUACAACAUAGAUAUGCAAAAACUACUAAGACUAAGUUCAUGAUAAAUUAAGUUCAAUUAAUCAAAUUACUAAAGAACUCCCACUUAAAUAGACAUCCCUCAAGUCAUCUAAGUGAUACGUGAUCCAAAUCAACUAACCCAUGUCCGAUCAUCACGUGAGAUGGGGUAGUCAUCAAUGGUGAACAUCUCUAUGUUGAUCAGAUCUACUAUAUGAUUCACAUUCGACCUUUCGGUCUCCAGUGUUCCGAGGCCAUGUCUAUACAUGCUAGGCUCGUCAAGUUUAACCCAAGUAUUCCGCAUGUGCAAAACUGUCUUGCACCCGUUGUAUGUGAACGUAGAGUCUAUCACACCCGAUCAUCAUGUGGUGUCUCAACACGAUGAACUGUAGCAACGGUGCAUACUCAGGGAGAACACUUUUACCUUGAAAUUUAGUGAAGGGGUCAUCUUAUAAUGCUACCGCCGUACUAAGCAAAAUAAGAUGCAUAAAAGAUAAAUAUCACAUGCAAUCAAAAUAUGUGACGUGAUAUGGCCAUCAUCAUCUCAUGGUUUUGAUCUCCAUCUCCAAAGCAUCGUCAUGAUCUCCAUCGUCACCGGCUUGACACUUUGAUCUCCAUCAUUGCGUCGUGGUCGUCUCGCCAACUAUUGCUUCUACAACUAUCGCUAACGCAUAGUGAUAAAGUAAAGCAAUUACAUGGCGUAUGCAUCUUAUACAAUAAAGAGACAACCAUAAGGCUCCUGCCGGUUGCCAGAUAUCUUACAAAACAUGAUCAUCUCAUACAAUAACAUAUAUCACAUCAUGUCUUGCCCAUAUCACAUCACAACAUAUCCUGCAAAAAAAGUUAGACGUCCUCUACUUUGUUGUUGCAAGUUUUACGUGGUUGCUAUGGGUUUCUAGCAAGAACCGUUCUUACCUACGGCAAAAACCACAACGUUAUUUCGUCAAGUUUGUUGCUUUAACCUUCUUCAAGGACCGACCGCAGUCAAAUUCGAUUCAACUAAAGUAGGAGAAACAGACACCCGCCAGCCACCUUUAUGCAAAACUAGUUGCAUGUCAGUCGGUGGAACCGGUCUCAUGUGCAUGGACAUGUAAGGUUGGUCCGGGCCGCUUCAUCCCACAAUACCGCCGAAUCAAAAUAAGACAUUGGUGGUAAGCAGUAUGACUAUCACUGCCCACAACUCUUUGUGUUCUACUCGUGCAUAUCAUCUACGCAUAGACCUGGCUCAUGAUGCCACUGUUGGGAAUCGUUGCAUGGAAAACAAAAAAAAUUCUACGCACACACAAUGAUCUAUCCAUGGAGAUGCAUAGCAAUGAGGGUGAGAGUGUGUCUAUGUACCCUCGUAGACCGUAAGCGCAAGCGUUUCACAACGUGUUUGAUGUAGUCGAACUUCUUCGUGCUUCAACCGAUCAAGUACCAAACGCACAGCACCUCCGCGUUCUGCACACGUUCAACUCGGUGACGUCACUCGCCUUCUUGAUCCAGCAAGAUGUGGAGGUAGUAGAUGAGUUUCAUCAGCACGAUGGCGUCAUGACGGUGAUGGUGAAGUGAUCUCCACAGGGCUUCGCCUAAGCACUACGAAAAUAUGACCGGGGUGUAAAUGGUGGAGGGGGGCGCCGCACACGGCUAGGCAAUUCUCUGGUGUGUGCUAGGCGCCCCUCCCACAUAUAUAUAGGUGGGAGGGAGGGAGAAGUAGCCAAAGGAGGCGCCCAAGUAGGAGGAAUCCUACUUGGGGUCCCUCCCAAGCCGCGCCCCCUUCUUUCCUUAUUUGGAGUGCGGGGAAAGGCAGGGGAGGGUGGCGCCCCUCCAUUUCCUUUCUCCCAUGAGAGGGAAAGGCAGGAGGGGCUAGCCCUCCCCCUUUUCCUUCCCUAGGGUUGUUCAAACAAGUGGAGGGGCACACCAGCCCCCUAGUGGGCUGGUCUGUCCCUCCCUUUGGCCCAUUAAGCCCAUAACUUGCCGGGGGGUGCUCGGAACCCCUUCCGAUGACCCGAUUCCUUCCCGGUACGCCCCGAAACACUUCCCGUGUCCAAAUACCAUCGUCGUAUAUAUCGAUCUUUACCUCUCAACCAUUUCGAGACUCCUCGUCAUGUCCAUGAUCUCAUCCGGGACUCCGAACAACAUUCGGUCACCAAAUCAUAUAACUCAUAUAACACUAUAUCGUCAAUGAACGUUAAGCAUGCCGACCCUACGGGUUCGAGAACUAUGUAGACAUGACCAAGACACCUCUCCGGUCAAUAAACAAUAGCGGAACCUGGAUGCCCAUAUUGGCUCCUACAUAUUCUACGAACAUCUUUAUCGGUCGAACCGUUAUGACAACACACGUAAUUCCCUUUGUCUAUCGGUAUGUUACUUGCCCGAGAUUCGAUCGUCGGUAUCUUUAUACCUAGUUCAAUCUCGUUACCGGCAAGUCUCUUUACUCGUUCCGUAAUACAUCACCUCGCGAUUAACUCCUUAGUCAUUUGCUUGCAAGCUUAUGAUGUGUAUUACCGAGAGGGCCCAGAGAUACCUCUCCGAUACUCAGAGAGACAAAUCGUAAUCUCGAUCUAUGCCAACUCAACAAACACCUUCGGAGAUACCUGUAGAGCAUCUUUAUGAUCACCCAGUUAUGUUGUGACAUUUGAUAGCACACAAGGUAUUCCUCCAGUAUCCGGGAGUUGCAUAAUCUCAUAGUCGAAGGAAUAUGUAUUUGACAUGAAGAAAGCAAUAGCAACGAACUGAACGAUCAUUAUGCUAAGCUAACGGAUGGGUCUUGUCCAUCACAUCAUUCUCUUAAUGAUGUGAUCCCAUUAUCAAAUGAAAACUCAUGUCCAUGGUUAGGAAACCUUAACCAUCUUUGAUCAACGAGCUAGUCUAGUAGAGGCUCACUAGGGACACGUUGUUUGCUUAUGUAUUAACACAUGUAUUUAAGUUUCCGAUCAAUACAAUUCUAGCAUGAAUAAUAAACCUUCAUCAUGAUUUAGGAAAUAUAAUAAUAACCAUUUUAUUAUUGCCUCUAGGGCAUAUUUCCAUCACAUGGUGCUAUUUGAAAAUAUAUAUGGAGUAAGUAUUGCAAAUGCAUGCAGUUUAUUUGUGCUUUCUCCUCAUUAUGUAGAUUUAUGAGAAGGCAAAAAAGAAAUAAUAUUAUUGGUUAUUGUCCACUUCCAAUUUUCGGAGGCUAAAAAAAUCAAAAAGGGAGAAACUGGGUGCAGGAAAGAGAAGAUUUAGUGAAACUUAUUCAAAG